This 80705-nucleotide long non-coding RNA is filed under the name Sorghum bicolor (sorghum). RNAcentral's name for it is "long non-coding RNA (SBIC_LNC017503)". The stretch from base 60276 to 60382 matches the Rfam family "Plant small nucleolar RNA R71". Lineage: Eukaryota; Viridiplantae; Streptophyta; Magnoliopsida; Poales; Poaceae. The record is from RNAcentral.
GCUUUUAUAUUAGAGUUCUUCCAGGAAUUACUAAAACUAAAAUUACUAUCUUUGGGAAGCGUAAAAACUAAAGUCUAGGUAAGAGAAAGGCAUGAUAUAAAGUUGAGCUGCUGUUUAUCUUGUUCCUACUACACCAAGUUCUAGAGAUUUAUUUUUGAAAACUUACAAAUCACAUGAUGAGUUCCUAGCAUAACAAACUACCUACCACAGCCAUACUUGCUAUAACAUCUUUUACUAUAUUCACAUUGAGUUUGAUCGAGCUGUGUAGACCCUUAGGAGCUUUUCAUGUGGUUAAAUUAAGAUAUUCACUUGCACACAUCUACCACAGCAUUCAUCACCAAUCAUUAAAAUUGCUAAAAAUAUUAUCACUCACUGUCCCGAAUAUUGUUAUUCUCUCUCUCUAAAAAGAUUCAAUGCAGAAGAGGCAUGGGUUAUGCAAAAAUAUGCGAGGAAAUAAAAAGGGGCAAGUGCCCGGAACCUCAGAGAAAGAAAGAAAAAGAGUGAGACGAGAGGUAAAAAUGGACAAGUGUCCGAAGUAGAAUUAGGGGUACAAAAGAUGCCCACUUGAGCAGAAAAAAUGGACAAGUGUCCGACAGUAGAAUUAGGGGUAUCUAUUACCCACCUAGAAAAAAAAAGAGAAAAAAGAAAAAAAAGAUAGCCCAUGUUCUCCCAAAGCAAAGAUCAAAAAGAAGAGGAGAGAUAGCAAUACGAGGAGCAAUGAGAACUAAGUUUUAUUAUCACUUAUGCAUUUUCACCAUCACUAUCAUUUACUCCAUCACACAUGCACAUCUUGAUUUAAUUAUAUGCUGAGUUCCUUUGGAUCCAUGGCUCGAUUAGACAACAUAUGUAUGAGCUGUUUUCCACUCCUAUGAGCUCCACUUAAAUAUUCCAUUAGCUAUAGGAAAGUGACAUUAUGGUAAGGAUCCAUAAAUACCACAUAUAGAGAGACUUGAGAGAAUCAUUGCUGGGAACUCUGAGUUUUAUUUUGAAAACUUAUGAAAAACUCUAGAACAAAGGUGAAGAAUAAACAGGAGGAAUAGUGCUUGACUUAACUAAUUUGUCUUUCGAUUACUUAAGAUUUAAGUGCAGGUACUAAACUCCAUAACACUUCACUAUAAUCUGGAAGAAUUUUUUAUGUAAAAGCAUGUGUGCCUGUCAGGAAAGAAAACAUCGAAGCAACUCCUGAUCCAUCUGAGUUUAGCUGUUUGCUCAGGGACGAGCAAAGGGUAAGCUUGGGGGAGUUUGUUGACGGUCCUUAAGUACUAAAAUUAAUAAUCAAAUAAACAUGAAAAAGGAUCAAUAUGAAACAAACAUCUAGAAUUAGGGUUUUAUCUGACAGAAUUCCACGAGCUUUGGUGUUUAUCUAUUUCUGCAGGGGUUUAUCAGAAAAUAGGGAGAGAAGGCCCACAUGUCAUGUUUACAACGAGAUAAUUACGUGCCGCGCAAUUUUCCUUGAUCUAGAAGGAUCCAGAAGCCACGGGAACGAACGGGACGCGAUUCGGGCUCGGGAGCUGGGCGGCCGCCCACCCCCUUGGGCGCCCGCCCUGGCCAGGAGUUGGAUCAGGACUCUCUCUCGGGACAACUCUCCACCGACCUAAAGGAUCAAUCUAAACCAUACAAUCUAUGUUGGUUUGAUCCAAUGGCUCACGUUCACUUGAGGGGACUAUAAAACCAGACCCCCUGGCCCCUGGAGGAGGAGAGGAGAAAUCAUUAUUCAGAGGUAGCCAUCAAAGUUAGGGUUUAGAUCUCUCUCCCACAGAGAAUUAGAAUUAGCUACUCCCUAAUCCUUCAAGUUUAGAGGUUUGAUUAGAUAGCAAUUAGAGAAGUAGAGCACUACGCUCUGGAUUCGGAUCUUCGGUAAUAAAGAUUGGUAUUAUUCAUAUCUUUCUCUAAUUCUUUGUUCUAAUUGCAUUAUGUCUUUAAUUAUUAUGUUCUUAGUUUGCUCUAGUUCUAUAUUUGAUAUAGUUCUAAUUCAUAAUGAGUUUAUGUAUAAGUUUGCAAAGCGCUUAGCUCUUGUCGCGAGGGAGUUAGGUGAUAGAUCACAUGUGAGCGUGGUGCUUAGAUGUUAUUUAUCUGCAAAUGUAUCCUAUUGGCCGGGUCGUGUGGUAGUUCGCGAUAGUGACAGCUUCGUUGAUUCUUAUAUAGUCCACCCUCCGUUGAUAGGACAGGCAGAACCGGUAUUGUGGAGUAAGUCAUGCGAUGCUCUGAUUUACUUUAUCAAUGUUCCUUAUACAUGAAUGAAGAGUCUUUUAUGCUAUAUAUGAUCUUGUAGAUAACUAGAGUAGAUUAUGACUUAGUAGUUAGUAGAUAACUUAGAAUCCAUUCUCUAGCUAAUCCGACAUCACCUACAUAUAUGAGGAGUAGUCUAUUUUCUAAUCGCUGUGUUAUCUACCCAUGAACUUAUACUUUAUUAUCAUUAUCUUUAUGGUUUACCCCCUGCUAAAGUAAGUGACUGUGUGACGAGUUUCUCAUUUGUAAUCAUGUUCUUGCAAGUUUAUCUCUAGUCAAUGCCUUGAUAGAUUUUGUCCCUUGAUUUAAUUCCAUCUUCUUUAGAUCCCUAGAGCAAAAUUAUAAAUAACGAUACCUAGAAUACUUAUCCUGGUGAAAUGCUACAAUGAGGUGUUUUAUCUGUGCGCUUGCGGAUAGAAUAGAUUAUUUUCUAAAGAGCCUUUACAUUUAUAAAUACCUUUGUACACUCUGGCGCCAUGCUAGGGAUGACAACCUAGUAUCUAAGUGGUGUUAGCUAGUGUCAACAAUGGCUAUAACAGGGAGACUGCCGAUGACUCUGAAAGGAAGCGUGGAGGUUGCCGAUUGAUCUGUGACGGUGUCCCGAUCGGUUACGAGGGGCUGGUUCUAUGUUUUCCUUAGUUAUUUAAAAUCGUUUUGUAUAUGGAUUCUGUUUAAUUUGGAAUUCGAGUCCUAGUCGUGUCUGAUUGUAGCUCUUUAAGCAGGGUAUAAAUAUAGACCCUAGGGCCUUGUAAUGAGAUAUCUAUCAAUCAAUCGAAUACAAGUUUGUACUCAUAUUCCAGCAUCUACUUUUUCGACGACUUCGUCAUAUUUUCCUUUUUAUUACGAGUUCUUAGGAGUUCGUCGACUUAAGCUCGGCGUAUUCUCGAGUUCCGCGUGAAUACCUCUUGGCCGUGACAUCCGGGCGCAUCGCUGUUGUCGGGACCAAAGUAUUCGAGUUAUCACCUUUGCCGAUAGCAAGGUCAAAUCGGCUGGCACGCCUUAACGUUUAAAUCGGGUAUUAGCCCUUUGUGUUUGCAGAUCAGCUUUUGCAUCAACAUGGUGUUUGUCUAUUUCUGCAGGGGGUUAUCAGGAAUUAUGGAAGAAAGGCCCACAUGUCGGGUUUACAUAGAGAUAUUAAUGUGCCGCGCAAUUAUCUAACAUCUAGAAGAGUCCAGAAGCCACAGGAACGAACGGGAGGCCGAUCGGGCCCGGGGGCAGGGCGCCGGCCCUAGUCUGUGGGCCAAUCAGCUUCAACCUCGUGGAUCAUGCUCCACCGACCUAAAGGAUCAUGGAAAACUUUGCGAUUAAUGUCAGUUUGAUCUGACGGCCCACAUUCAUUUGGAAGGACUAUAUAAGCAGACCCGCUGGCCCCUAGAGGAGAUGACCUCUGAACCCUAAUUCAUUAUCCAUCUUGGGAGAAGAAGCCUCUGAUCAAGCCCUAGAGCCACCACAUCAAUAGAUCUCUAGUUUAGCAUAGGUACAUAGGAUUAGAACUAGAAGGAGUCAAUCUUCGAUUGGUUUCCGGAUCUGUCAAGAGGAUUCUUGGUAAUUCCUCUAUUGUUCUUCAAUUGUUCAUCAUUGUUCUUCAAUAUUAUGGAUAUGACUUUGUUCUACUUCAAUAUAUUGAUUAUGACUUUGCUCUUCUUGUUUAUAUUUGCAACUAUAUUGUUCUUAGUUUAUCAUAGUUAUAUGCUUGGCUUAGUUAGAUUGGAAUUAUAUACGUGUUUAGGAUCGUAUAGCGUUUAUCUAUGUGUACAGUGGGUAAAUGAUAAGUAUUGUGUAGGCGUGGUGCCUAUACCGUAUUUAUCUACGAUUGUACCCUAUAUGCCUGAUCGCGGGGUAGUUCGUGGUAGUGACAGCUCCAUCGAUUCUUAUAUUGUCCCCCUCUCGUGUAUAGGGGUGGCAGAGCAACAUUAUUAUAGUGGAGUGAUUGCUAUGUUUCUCAUCUUCCUUGAUAAUAUCACUAUGCAUGGGCGUAGUCCUGUCUUGCAAUGACUGCUAAGUAUAAUUGCACUAACUAUGAUAUGCUAGACUUUAUAGUUAAGAAUAACUUAGGAAAUAUUCUUGUAGUUCGUCCUAAUUCCAUGCUAAUGACUUGCUAGAAUAUCUAUUGAGGUGCUUAUCAUAUUUAUAUGUAGCUAAGUUAUGCUGAUCAGAUUAAUUAUCUUUGUCACCAUUCAUACUUUAACUAUCUUUUAUGUGACAUUUAUCCCUGUAUGAAAGAGAUAGAUAAAUGCUCUCAAUUAUACAUGCAAUGAUAGAUACUCAAUUCUAUAUUCCAUUCCAUAAUCAAUAGUGAUGUUUAGCAAUCCCUUCCCAAUGGUAAAAAUAUAAAUAACGAUACCUAGAAUACUUCCGGGUUAAAAUGCUACAUCGGUAUUAAUCUGUGCGCUUGCACAUCUCAUUUAUUAUUUAUUUAGAAGAGCAAUUGCAUAUUUCAAUACCGCGUCUCUCAUGUCAUGCUGGGGAUGACAACUUGGCUUAAGUGGCAUGAGGGAUAGGUUUGGCGUUUUUGGCUCCGUUAUCAGAAUUAGAAAACUAAGUUUACUUUUGGUAGUGAAGUUAAGAAUGCCCAACAAGCAUUUUUGGCGCCGUUGCCGGGGAAGGUUGAUUACUAAUCAGGAAUGAAUAUGGAAUUUCGAGUCAUCAUUCGCAUCACUAAUAUGAUUGAGAUUAUCAAUUCUCUCACACAGUUUUACCCUGAUAUUUUUCUAUUUUAUUUUAUGCAGGGUAAUGUAUGAAUAGAAGACAUCUUCCAGGAAAUUUUAUUGACAAUCCCGAAGCAUUAUUUAGAAAAACAAGAGCCAAGCUCAAGAAGGGAUCGUCAACACUUCAGCACGAAGCUUCAUCCAAUCAAGAAAAUCAUCGACGUUACACCCGGAACUUGUCUUCAGAGUUUGAAGCCAUGGCGAACAAAUCGAUCCGUGAGUUCUCAGCUCCCGCUUCGGACAACAUCCGUACUGGACCUGCUACAGAGAUCGAUGGCAACUUUGAGCUCAAGCCUAGACUUAUCAACAUGGUGCAAUCCAACCAGUUCUAUGGGAAGGCACACGAAGAUGCUAGUGCUCAUCUCCAACACUUCCUAUAGAUUUGCAGCACAUUCACCAUAUCAGGAAUCCCCAAAGAUGCUAUACUACUUCGCCUCUUCCCAUUCUCACUAUUGGGGAGAGCGAAGCAGUGGUUCUACGCUACAAAAGAGAAGAAUACUACGUGGACACUCUGCUCCAUGAACUUUCUAGCUAAGUUCUUUCCCAUGGGCAAGACCAAUGCUCUCCGUGGGAAAAUUACAAGUUUUCAGCAACAACAUGAUGAAUCCGUUCCAGAAGCAUGAGAGCGCUUUCAAGACUACAUCCUAGAAUGUCCCCAUCAUGGAAUGGAGAGCUGGCUACUGAUGCAGACGUUUUAUCAUGGGCUCGGCAAUAGUGCCCGUGAGACCAUGGAUGCUGCAGCUGGAGGAGCAUUCCUAUCACUCACCAUAUCACAAGCCACAGCUCUUGUGGAGAAGAUGGCGUCCAACCAAGGCUGGAAUGAAGAAAGGACCCAGACACGCAAGAGAGGUGGAGGUAUGCACCAGCUCAAGGAGGUAGACAUGCUGUCUGCUAAGCUAGACCUGCUCAUGAAGAAGCUCGAUGAUAGAGCUGGAGAUAAGAAGGAAGUCAUGCACGUCUACGACUCUCACAUGACUUGUGAGAAAUGUGGAGAUACUGGACACUCAGGCAAUCACUGCCCUGAGAUGCUUGAGGAUAUGAACUACAUCAACAAUAACAACUACUACUACUACAACCAUCCUCAACAAAAUCAAGGUUGGAAUCAACAGAGGCCUAACUACUCAGGUAAUUAUCAAGGUAACAAUUCUUACAAUAAUAAUAAUAAUUUUCCACCUCUGAGUGAGUUAGUGUCUAAUCAAGGAAAACUAAUGGAUAACCUAUCUAAGAAAUUGGCAUCUAAUGAUAAAAUGUUAGAAAAUAUAAAUACUAGAAUGGAUAAUUUCUCUACUACCAUCAAGAAUCAAAUUAGCUUUAAUAAAAUGAUUGAAUCUCAGUUAAAUCAAAUAGCUGCUGCUGUUCCUGCUAAUAACCCCGGUAUACCAUCACAACCGGAAGGAUUAGAAUCUGCAAGUCUUGUAGACAUGUUUGAUACAGGUAACUACUGGAGUAACCCCAUCGCGGAAGUUACUACUCACCUUCUGCCGGUCAAGAGAGGCGAUCCAGGACGCCCCGUCAUCCCGAUCUCCAUCGGCAUGGUGGACUUCCCAGAAGCACUCUGCGACUUUGGCUCCAGCAUCAACAUUAUGCCCAGGGUACUCUAUGAAAAAUUCUUUACAUAUCCUUUAUUAGAAACAACCAUGUGUUUGCAGCUUACAGAUCGGACACUAAGUUUCCCCAAGGGAAUAUUGAAGAACCUCUGCGUCCGAGUUGGUACCUUGUAUGCCCCAGCAGACUUCGUGGUGAUAGAGACCGGUAAUGAUGAGAGGGCACCUGUCAUCUUAGGGAGGCCAUUCCUAAAUACCUCGGGAGCUGUCAUCUACGCUAGUGCUGCCAAGAUCAGUUUCUACAUCAAAGGGAGGAAGGAGACGUUUUCCUUCAAGAACAAGACUACACAAAUCCUAGAGCAAUCCCGACAUAAACCAAGGAAGAGGACCAACAGGAGGAAUAGGAACAAGCAAGUGUGGACCGAGUCAGCUAAGAUGGUCACUGCAGUUCAUGGAAGUCAAGAUCAUCGACUUAAGUCACCGUUGCUAACCAAGAAAGACGACCCAGGUAUGCUAAGCAUCCAUUGCUCCAUUACUGGAUACUACUUCUAUAAGACACUUUGCGACACCGGAUCGGGCAUCAACAUAAUGGCCGCAGUCACCUAUCGGCUCUUGUUCGGAACCAUGCCCCUAAAACCGACAUACAUUCAGCUCCAAAUGGCAGAUCAGACAUUCCGAAAGGUUGAAGGUAUAGUAACUGACGUCCCUGUCAAAAUAGACAAUCAUUUUGUCCAUAUAGACUUUCAGGUUGUUGACAUAGGAGAAGACGAGUACGAUCCACCCAUCAUCCUUAGGAGACCGUUCCUCAGUACCGUUAAAGCAAUCAUCUACAUUAGAACCGGAGAAGUCCACAUGCACUUCCCCUUAGAGAAGGUACGCCGCUAUUUUACUGACCCUAACUAUAUAGUUGAAGACUCUAAGCAAGUCACGACAAGAAGAAGACGACGCAACCGCAACCAGAGUAGGCAAAUCAUCAAGGACGGAUGGGCAGACUACGAAAGAGAAGUAGUAAGGUCUGAAGACAUACAGCUUGAACAGAACUAUCCAGUGGAGACCGUAGCACAGAGUCAGGUGUGGAGAGAGAAGAUAGUUAUACACGAAGAAGAGGCGCCGCCAGAACCACCGACUACGCCAUCUUACGAAUCCCAGGACAACUGAGAAAACAGAGAGUCCCGUUCGGAGGACUUAAAACACCGAACGCCUUGCCAAGAGGUAAACUUGGUAGUUACCCUUUUCCUUUUAAUUAUUUCAAAUAGUUUGCUUAGUUAAUCAUGUUCAUACUAUCUUAAAAAGAAAAUAAAAAUGUUAAAAACAGUAAGCCCCAUGUGAGUAUACGAGUGGCAUAAAACCCAUAAGUACAUUCACUGUAGUGGCAUAAAAAUAAAAUAAAUAUUUUUCUGCUCUACAAAAAUGAAAAUAUAAAAAAUAGAGAGUAACAUUUAUUAAGGAGGCUCAACAUGAUAAAGUCUAGAUGUUUAUGGUAACACCUAAUCAGUUCCACAAAGCUUUGUUGUCUAUUUGAGUUCCAUAGAAUUUAAGGAUCAAGAAGACAAGGAGACGGAGGACAUUCUAAUCGCUGUCAGGGUGCUGCCGACUUUCAAAUACACAUUUGCCACCUGCUAGCUACAUCAGAAGAAAUUACGUCAAAAUUCAGCUUGGGGGAGAGCACCCCCAUUUAUCCAGCUAAGUAUUCUACUCACGUUUAUACUUUACUCUAAUAAUAAAAAUAUACAUAAUCAUGAAAAACCAAAUAAAGAUUUUGUGCUUAUAUAUAUAUCUCUUUUGCUUAAUAUGCUUAAUAAAUAAAUAAAAUGGCUAUGCUAAACUGAAUCUUAAUAAAACUCUAGCAUGGAUAUGAUGAAUAGUUGCUCUGCCUAAUUUUCAAAUUUAAAGUUCUCUCUCAAGUUUAGACAUAACUGUUAUAAUUUAAAGCUUGCUCUAAACCUGAACUUGUGGGAAGAGAACUUGAUCUGAAGUCUAAGUUGUUAACGGAUAUGAUAUGGGAAGGUUGAGCUGCUGUUUAUCUGUUCCUAGAGAUGCUAGAAAUUUGGAGAAUUUUAUCUUUGAAAGUCUUUAAGAUAACACAUGAUGAGUUCCUGUAUGAUGAGAGUUUAAAUUCCUACCACAACCAUAUAUACAUGCUUGCUAGACUUUGAGCCACACAUUUACUUUUUACUGCUUAUGAGCAUUGAGUGUGGUCAAGCUGUGUAGACCCAUAGAAGCUUGUCAUAUGGUUAAAUCAAGAUUCACUUGCACGUUCACUCACACAUACUGCUUCUACUCCGGAAGUACGCAUCCACAUAUAUCCACUCAUUUCUAUCUCCAAAGCCACCCAAAAAUAUUCUACUCCUAAUCCGGGGAGAAUAGCCAAAAAAACAUUAUCCCAUUCUUGUUUUUCCCUAUGAAAUAAAUGUUCAAGUUAUCUUGGUUACUACCACUUGCUAUAUUAUUUCAGGAGAUGAGUGCUCUAAAAAAGAAGAAAAAAAGGGAUACGAGGAAAUAAAAAGCACUACUAAAUUUUACCCAUUUUGCCACGCUUUUAUGGUGCAACGACACUGAUUUGGUUGCAACAAGGGGUCCUCUCGCAAUGAUUUGAACUUUUGGUUGCGAUAGAUGGUAUUCCUCCACGCAAAUUAUAUCGUGGCCAUAAGUGUGGAGAUCGUUGCCAAAACUAGGAGUUGUUGCCACGCAAUUCAGAUCGGUGGCAAUAGUUGUUCACUGUUGCCACGAAUAUAGUUUCGUUGCUGCGAGUUUAUUUUCGUUGCGAUACUCAAAUGAUUUCGCAAAGCUUUAAUUUGUUGGUUGCAAUAAAAAGUCACUCUUGCCACGAUUGGUUAUUCGUUGCUGAGAAUUUUGUUUUCGUUGCAAUAUUAAGAUGAUUUUACAACGUUUUUAUUUGUUGGUUGCAACAAAAAGUGACUCUUGCCACGAUUGAUUUUCCGUUGCUAAGAGCUUUGUUAUCGUUGCAAUACUAAGAUGCUUUCGCAACGCUUUUAUUUCUUGGUUGUAAUAAAAAGUCACUCUUGCCACGAUCGAUUUUCCAUUGCUAAUAGUUUUGUUACUGUUGCAAUACUAUACAGUUAAAAUGUUUAAUGUAAUAUUAAAAAAAUUAAAAAACUCUUCAACUGAGAUUUGAGCCUUGAACCUCUGAGUUUUAGAAGCCACACACUAACCAUCCGAACCUUUUGAUGUUUGUGUCUUCUCUAGCCACAGCACUAUAUAUAUAAUAACGUAAACGUGUUUAAUUACAUAAUGGAAGCUAGAUUAAUCUACUCGAUGCAACCGAUCGGUCUUCUCUGCUCUGUAUCGUGCUCGUCCUACUCAUUGCCAGCCCUAAUUCUUCCUCGCACUCGGCCGGCGAUCUCCUCGCUGCCCUCGCUGGUGGCCGCCGUCGCUGCCCUCGCUGCCCUCGCUGGUGGCCGCCGGCGAUCUCCUCGCUGCCCUCGCUGGUGGCCGCCGGUGAUCUCCUCACUGCCCUUUCUAGUGGCCAGCGUUCCCCUCGCUGCUGAUCGACGACGUCCCCUCCAUCACCGGCCGGCCAGAGAUACGACACAAUUGGCCGUCACUCUGCCCUCACGCGCUGCUGAUCGACGUACGUGUUGUGCGUGUGCAUGCAUGCAUAAUGUUAUUUUUUGCUAAUCAGCACAUGCAGUACGUAGCUCUUCUUGUAAAAAAAAUCAAAUGCUGUAGCUCUUCUUGUAAAAAAAUAGUUUGUGCACCUUAAUUAUGAUGCUUAUUUAGUUAAUCCAAUUUUACAAUAAUUCGUGACCCCACUCUUUGAAUUAUGUCAUGUCACAGGAAAGUUGAGCUCGUGAUAUUAUUAUGGCAGCACAUGACGAUUGUGAUUGGAGUUGGAUGUCGUUGUCUCGGUUAUCAGCUGAGUGGCAAGCUGGACUUGACAAAUAUAUUAAUUCAAUUUUUGAAGGUACAUAUGCAGCAGAAACAGCAGCUUGUCCAUGUUCAAGGUGUCGUGGAGUGGUGUUCAAAACAAAAUCCAAGGUUCAAAUGGACUUGCUAAAUAAAGGGUUUGAUGAGAACUUCGUGAAAGAAAAAAUUAAUGCUCAAUCUAGUAGGAAUAAUGAUGAUAGGGUUCUGAAUGAUGAAGGUCUAAAUGAUGCAUCAGCUGCCACUAAUCUGGUUUCUUCUAUAAUUCGAGGUGCAUGCAGCGGUAAUGACAAGGAAGAGCCAAAUGAGAGUGCGAAGAAAUUUUUUGAUUUAUUGAAAGAAGCGCAGCAAGAGUUGGCGCCAGGGUCCUCGCUUACGAAGUUAUCUUUCAUGGUCAGGCUCUUUCAGCUUAAGUGCAUGAGUGGAUGGAGUAACCCGUCCACAGGAAAAGCACUUGAACUAUUCUCAGAUGGGUUCCCCCAGGACAUUGUAUCCCAGACACUUAUGAGAAAGCACGAAAGGUUAUCCGCGAUCUUGGCCUCACAUAUAUUAAGAUCCAUGCUUGUGUGAAUGAUUGUGUGUUAUUCCGUGGGAAAUUUGCUGAUCUGGAUGAGUGUCCAAUAUGUGGAGAGAGUAGGUGGAAAAAUGUUAUCGGAAAUUCUGAUGAGAUUGAUGAGCAUAGUGAAAGUGGUGGAACAAAGAAGAAGAAGCGCACUCCUUGCAAAAUUCUAAGGUAUUUUCCACUUAUUCCUCGACUACAAAGAAUUUAUAUGUCAGAGAAAACAUCAUCAUUGAUGCGGUGGCAUAAGGAACACUUGAUUCGUGAUGGGAAAAUGCGUCACCCAGCAGACUCAAAGGCAUGGCAUCAUGUGAAUGCAAAGUAUAAGAAAUUUGAUGAAGAUGCACGUAAUGUUAGGCUAGGACUUGCAUCAGAUGGAUUUAAUCCGUUUGGGAUGUUGAAUGUUAAUUACUCAUGUUGGCCUGUGAUAUUGAUUCCUUAUAAUUUGCCUCCUUGGUUGUGUUUGAAACAACCUUACUGGAUGAUGUCGAUGUUGAUACCUGGUCCUAAAUCUCCUGGAAUGAACAUUGAUGUAUAUUUGCAACCACUGAUCGAUGAGCUGCUUGAGUUAUGGAAUGAAGGGGUUCUAACAUGGGAUGAGAAGAAGAAGAAGAAUUUUACUCUACGUGCAAUUCUAUUAUGGACAAUUAAUGAUUUUCCUGCAUAUGCUAUGUUAUCUGGUUGGAGCACAAAAGGCAAGUUUGCUUGUCCUUACUGUCAUAGGCAUACUGAUUACUUGUGGUUAAAAUAUGGUUCAAAGCAUUGCUACAUGGGACAUCGCCGAUUUUUGCCCACGAAGCACAAGUGGCGAAGGAACAAGGUGAGCUUCGAUAACAAGGUUGAAAUCAGGGAAGCUCCAGUGCCGCUUAGUGGUGAGCAGGUGAAACAAGAUUAUGAGAGUUUUCAGCAAGUGACUUUUGGAAAAGAUACUAGGAGAAGAAAGCAACGUGAUGAAGAAAAUAGAUGGCACAACUGGAGGAAGAAGAGUAUUUUUUUGAGCUUCCGUACUGGGAAUCUUUGCUUGUUCGACAUAAUUUAGAUGUCAUGCAUAUUGAGAAGAAUAUAUGUGAGAGCUUACUAGGGACUUUGCUUGAGUUAGAAGGCAAAUGCAAGGACAGUGAAAAGGCUCAUCUUGAUAUGCAACAUUUGGGUAUCAGGAAAGAUCAGCAUCCAGUGCUCGAAAAGGGUAAGUAUACCUUGCCACCAGCAUUAUACAGUCUUGGUAAGGAUGACAAGCAAAUUCUAUGCAAAUUUUUACAUGGCGUAAAGUUUCCUGAUGGUUAUGCCACAAAUAUUAAGAGAUGUGUGGACAUCAAUGGUUGCAAGAUUUCUGGUCUAAAAACACAUGAUCUCCAUGCAAUUCUGCAAAAACUUUUGCCCUUAGUAGUGCGCAACAUAUUGCCUGAAGAAGUGGUGAUUGCAGUAGUCGAGCUAAGUAGAUUCUUUAACUCACUAUGUUCAAAGGAAUUGGAGAUUUCAGAACUUCAAAAACUGAGCACUUCGAUUAAGGAGACACUUUGUCGAUUGGAGAUGAUUUUUACUCCUGCUUUUUUGAUAUUAUGAUGCACUUACCAGUUCACCUUGCUGAAGGCCCAGUGUGCUAUAGAUGGAUGUAUCAGGUUGAGAGGUACCUUCGUACUCUUAAAGGGAAUGUGAAGAAUAAAGCCCAACCUGAAGGUUCAAUUGCAGAGGGGUAUAUAUCUGAGGAGUGCCUCACAUUUUGCUCUAACUUCUUUGAUAAUAUUAGUACUAAGCUUAAUCGUUCAGAGCGUCAUGAAAGCGCAGCUGGUAGUGAACCGCCAUGUGGCCUAAGUAUAUUCGGGAGGCUUGACUACAGUAGGAAAGGAAGUAUUAUCGAGAUCAUUUCUGAUAUAGACCUCCAGAGGAUGAGGCAUUACAUAUUAUUCAACUGUGAAGAGGUGUUGUCAUGGAUAACGUAAGCUAUAUUUUAAUUAUGAUUUUGAUAUGGCGCUCAUUAACAUGUUUCAAAUUUAUAUGUAACUAAUGCUAGCAUUUUCUAUUAUUGUGGGAAGUGUGCAUAUGAAUGAGCUGAAGAAAAUCAACCAUAGGAAUGUUGAAAAAAGAGACAAGGACACGUUUGUCUCUUGGUUUGAGCGUGAAGUGAGUCCUGUCCCCCUAAUAUGUUUAACCAUACUUCUUUUUACUUGUUAGUUUAUUAGUCAUUAAUAUAUUUUAAAAAUGUUAUGGUUAUUGCAGAUUAGGUCACUGCAUGCAAGAGGGGCCGUAGAUGACAUGAUUUAUUUUCUAUCUCGCGGUCCAGACCGUCAGGCUCGUGUGUUCAACAGGUGUUUCAUAAAUGGAUUCCUUUUUCGAGUCUCUUCUGUAGAGAACUUCUUAACUACACAAAACAGUGGUGUAUAUGUGAAGGGAGAUUCAAGUACAGGAAACAUGGACUGGUAUGGCGUGCUUAGGAAAAUCAUCUGCCUCGAUUUUCCUGGCGAGAAGGAAAUAAUGUUGUUCCAAUGUGCAUGGUUUGAUGUCCCUGCAGCCAGUACGAGCAAAUCUAGAGGGUACAAAAAGGAUAAAUUUGGUGUCAUCGAUAUUGAUAUGACUCGGUUUAGGUAUUCAGAUGAACCUUACAUCCUGAGCACACAAGCGGAGCAAGUGUGUCGGUGUUUUUCCCCCGGGGGGUCACACCAACGAGUAAAUUUGUAUGCGUGCUCCCUUUCCCGGAUGGUGAUGCAAGAAGACACAGAGAUUUAUCCUAGUUCGGGCAAGAGAAGGCCCUACGUCCAGCGGGGGGAGAGAGUUUGUAUUAUCUUGCACCUAAGUGCUUGUACAGGGGCGAAUACAAGCGUGGUAUGAAGUGUGGAGCUCUACUACAUAUGAGCGUGGUCUUGUGUCGUGAUCUCCCUGUUCUAUUCCUGAGUCCCUCCUUUUAUAGUUCCAAGGAAGGGCCUAGGGUACAUGUAUAGGUGUAGGAAUUGGAGUCGAUAGCAGCAUGGAGCGCUGACCUACUCGAGGUUUCCGUACCGGCAUGCCCUCGAGCCGUCCCGUCUUAAUAGCCUGGUGAUGAUCACGCGUGCCCCUGCAUUCUGCUCUGCGCGCCGUCUUGAAUUGGUUCGGCGGAUGCACGCUUAUAUGGCUCGGCGGCAAAUCCGGCGGAGCGGUUACGGCAUGGUCAGUCGACGCCCGACUCGUCUCCAGGAAGGAGCCUGGUGAAGUCGAGGGUCGAACGCCGUACGAGGUGUCGAUAUCUGGAGCGCUGACCUUGGGUGUCUCGAGGGGGUCCCGAUUAGACGUUCCAUCCUUGUUUCCCGCGUCCUGACACGCCCUGGGUCGUUCGGUGGGAAGGCUGCAAAAAGAACGAUGGGACAGAAGCCUGUUCCCUAUCACGCCUCCCGUGACCCGUGUGUUAUGUGGGGAAGCGUCAUGUGCAUUAAAUGCCCUGGCUCUCGCGCGCGCGUUAGGCGGCGGACAGUGUCCUUGCACUCGACGCCUCUCGGUUUGCUCGAGCCCGCUUCCGUAUUCGACGGCAGUUGUCGCUCGAGCCCUGACCGAUUCGCUUGACGCUAUUUCCGUCUUCGAGGCUGCGGCCGUCGAUGGCCGCGCGUGUGUACGGAUGGUCUCGUUAUACGCAUUGGUGAGGGUACCCCUUGUUGAUACCCUCGACAGUAGCCCCCGAGUCUUCAUUUGAGCGCUGGCGCUCGAGUGGAGACUUUCGUUUUUACGGUCGAGCUUCCACGGGGGCGCGCGAGCGACCCCGCGGGGGUAGCCCCCGAGCCCUCGAGGGAGUAUUUAACUCCUUCGAGGGUUAUUUUGCCAAAUUUGCAGAAACGCUGUCAACACCCGUGGUGGAAGGUUCUGUUCGGCUUUGCCUUGCGUGGAGGUUUCGACGUACUCUCGAUAGAGCGAGCGUCUUCCACCCCAGAUUGAGUUCCUAGCGGGUAGUCCAAGUGAGAACCUGUGCCCCUUUCGAGGGGGUCAGCUGUAGCCCGGAGGCGUCCUCAUAAAGCAGGGUCGACGUGGUCGGGGAUACCGGUCUCAUUCGAUAGAGUCCAGCGGCUCGAUGCCUCCCUUCAGGGGGAUUCCUCUCGACUGUCUCGACCCUACCUUGGACAUCGCCAGCGAGUCCUCGAGGCGGGCCUCGAUUUUCGACCACUCGCUGGGGAUCCCUGACUCUUGGUGCUCGAGAUCGGCUGUCGAACCCUUUCGACGGGCCAGCCAUCGACCUCUCGAGACUAUCGUGGGCGCAUACCUUGGCUUACGAAGUAAGGAAGCUGCCGUGCCGGUUCGUCUUUCUGCCCGUUGGGCGCACCUUUUGAGGUAAGUGACGUUGCGACACUGUAUCGGCGGGGAAUUCGGAGCGUCCGGCCUGUGAGGAGAGAAAGGACCGUUAGACGGCGCAUUUAUGGGGGGAGUUACCUCAUUUAUCGGAUCUAUCCGUUGUGGGGGUAUAAACCCCUAUACCCUUACGACUGGACUUGGGCCAGGAGGCUUAGCCCAUUACGAGACGAGUUCAAAGCUUGAUCCGACAACCUGGAGUUCCGCGCAAGGAAACAAGAUGUGGAGAUCAAGCAGGAUUUCUGGUCGGUUAGAAUAGGAAUUGAUAUCGAAUUAUCCAUGGCAAUUGUAACCGACUAGGAUUAGUUUCUAGAUCUGUAACCCUGCCCUCCAGACUAUAUAAGGAGGGGCAAGGGACCCCCUAGGACAGAUUAUCUCUCAACACAAUCCAAUACAACCAGACGCAGGACGUAGGUAUUACGCCAACUCGGCGGCCGAACCUGGAUAAAAAGCUUGUCCGUGUCUUGCGUCACCAUCGAGUUCGUAGUUUGCGCACCGUCUACCGAUAAACUACUACCGUGGGUAUACCCCAAGGUAGACUGCUGACUAGCUUUCGUCGACAGUGGCGCGCCAGGUAGGGGGUGUGCGUGCAACUUUUUCGGCGAACAAGAUGGUCACGAUCCCAGCUUCCGCGACCGUGCCCGAAGGCCUCACGUUCACCGUCGGCCAGAUCACGUGGACGACGUGCAGCGGCGGCUUCGCGACCACGGUUCCGAAAGAGAUCCAGAUCCGAUCUGAGAUCACGCCGUCUCCGACCACACGCAUGACGGCACCAAGCGCCCGACCACCGUUCCCACUCUACAAGGGAAAGGAGAUCGACUGCUCGGACCUCCUCCAAGCGCUCGAUCGCGCUGACUCCAAGCUACUCGAAGUCUCCCAACUAAUAGAUGGAGUUCUGCGCCGGCCCGACCAAGCUGCUCGAGCGGAUUUUUCGAAAUCCCGCCGGCCAACUCGUGUCGCCACACACGAAUGGCUGGGAACGUCCCUGACGAUAACCUCAACCCCCUCAGGACGGUCCGUCGAGCUCAAGAAGGAAGACUAUCCUUGCGGCCUGAACAACUCGGCCUCUGUUUACUCACAGCAUGUCCAAUCCGUUUUCAGCAAGGCGGGUUGGUCGCCGACAAGGAACAAUCGUCACCAUGUCAACAUGGUGACAAUCCGAGAGCUACGGGACGGCCAGGUUUCCAGCACCAACUCAAGCACCGGCUCCGUCCCCACCGAGGUUAUAAACACCGAAGACGAGGGCUACGACCUGGAUUUUCCUUCACACCCUCUGGGUUUCGACCGGUUCCCGAUAUUCCCCCCCCCCCGGCGAGGGGAUAUUGUGUUCAAUGUCAGCGCCGACGAACCGGCCGUUGACGGAGAAACAGAUGACCAGAGGCAACUCCGCGAACAGCGUAACGCCGAUCGCGCCCGACGACGUGCGGACGAGCAACAACAGAUGCCACCAAAUAACCUCAACGAUGCCUUUGACAUGGUCGGGGACCAGCCAGUCUACAAAACGCCAAGCGCCAACGUGGCUGUCGCCAUGGCUAACCUGGAUCGGCUUCCUGACACCCCCGAAUGCCAGGGAGUCCGGACCAGCAUCCGAGCACACCUGAUCGCCGCAAUGGGACAGACAGCCACUCUGCUCAAGAGAGUCCAGGACGUCUCUUAUACGGAAGCCGCCUCCGACCAGAUCAGUCGUAGCCAGGUCUCACCCAGCAGGCGUCACCGCAGCCGCUCCCCCGAUAACCGUCGAGGGGACUCGCGGCGCGACGAUGGUGGUCGGGACGCCGAUGGCCGCCGCAAGCAGAACCGCGUACGCGGCCAAGAAGAAGAUCAACACAGGGAUCUCCGCCACAACAUCCCUUCCAAAGAUACCCGGGACCGCAUCAACAGGCGCGCCGCAGAGAGAGCAGUCCACGAAAACCUGCGCCGCAUCGAGUACGAUGCAACCCACGGUCCUCCGGGCCUAAGACAGUUCUCCUCACACCUCCGCCAGGUCGUGUGGCCCCGCAAUUUCAAGCUCGAAAAACUUAAAAAAUACGACGGCAAGGAAAAUCCAGAGAACUGGAUCACCCUCUAUGAAAUCACCGUCCGAUCAGCGGCAGGAGAUGAGCACGUCAUGGCUAACUACUUCCCCGUAGUCCUCGACCAGGCUGGUCAUCAGUGGCUUCUCGGCUUGCCCGAGGACUCCUUCGACUCUUGGGAAGAGCUACGCCAGGCUUUCAUCGACAACUUCAUCGCCACAUGCGAGCAGCCCGGAAACAAGUAUGACCUUGAAAGGAUAAGGGACAGGAAGAAUGAACCUCUGCGCGAUUACAUCCGACGAUUCUCGGAUAUGCGCCUCAAAAUCCCGAAGAUUUCUCAUGACGAGGCCAUCUCAGCCUUCAUCAAGGGCUUGCGUUUCCACGAAGCGCUGAGGAACAAGCUGUUGCGUAAGCGCCCAUCAACGGUAGCAGAGCUCCUCGCCACGGCCAAAAAUUACGCCGAUGCCGAUGACGCAGAAAAACUAAUCCGAGACGAUGCGAGAGGCCCCGACCAGCCUCCCCGGCGAGAUGACGGUCGUGGUCGCUACGACAACAGAAAUCACCGCCGCUCCGACAACCGCGAUCACCGAGAGGGUUGGGAUCGGCGGCGCGACAGCCGCGACGACUUCAGAGGAAAGCGCCCUCGCGACUACGACCACGAAGUAAAUACGGUCAAACGUCCCAAUGGGCGACGGGACUACCAAGAAGACUACAACAAAACGUUGAAGGGACCAUGCCAGCUACACCCAAAGUCCAAUCAUACCAUGGAAGAGUGCCGCGUCCUCAAAAGUAUCUAUACACGGCGAGCCGCCCAAGAGGACUCCGCCAAGAAAAAUAACAAGCGCGACGGGCACGACCAUGAAGAUGAGGAUGAGGACCAAGAUAGGGACCCCCGACACCAAUACGUCAGCCCCACUGACGUGGUCCACUCCAUUUUCGGGGGCAAGGUCUCCACUGAGUCCAAGCGAGAAAGAAAGCUGUUAAAGAGAGCCUGCCUCAACAUAGACAGCAUGGACGGGCUGAUCGCAGAUCCGAAAUUUCCCACGUGGUCCCACAGGGAGAUCUCGUUCAGCAGGAAGGACCAGUGGGCCGCUAUCCCAGAGCCGGGUCGUUUCCCACUGAUUCUUGACCCCUGCAUCAACAGCAUCAGAUUCGAGCGCGUGCUCGUGGACGGGGGAAGCUCCAUCGACAUCCUCUUCCGCAACAGCCUGCCCGCCCUCAAGAUAUCACCGGCACAACUAAAACCUUACGACGCCCAAUUCUGGGGGGUUUUGCCAGGUCAAAGUUCAGUGCCCCUCGGACAGAUAACAUUGCCUGUCCAAUUCGGCACACCCGACCACUUCCGGACGGAGUUCAUCAACUUUGUAGUCGCGGAUUUCGACGGGACCUAUCACGCCAUACUGGGCCGCCCAUCGCUGACAAAGUUCAUGGCAGUCCCGCACUACUCAUACCUGGUCCUUAAGAUGCCCACGGAGAAGGGCGUCCUAACCGUCAGAGGCAACGUCUACACUGCGUACACCUGCGAAGAAGAAAGCUUCAAGAUCACCGAGGCAAUCGACCUCUCAAUCCGCAUGGCGGAAACAGCAAACCAAGCCGCACAGCUACCUCCCGACCAGCUCCGAUUACCCGAACAGGCGACAGCCAGGAAGAACUCAAAAUUCAAGGAGUACAAAGAAGUGCAGCUGGUCGAAGGCAACCCCGAGAAGACAGCCCUCAUCGGGGCCAACCUGGGUCCAAAAUAGGAAGACGCGCUCGUCAGGUUUCUAAGGGACAACGUGAGCGUUUUCGCAUGGAAACCCGCAGACAUGCCCGGUGUCCCACGAAGCCUGAUCGAGCACUCCUUAAAUGUCUCGAAGACUGCAAGACCAAUCUAGCAAAAACUGCGACGGUUCGCUCGUGACAAAAAGGAGGCUAUUAGGGCAGAAAUAACACGGCUUCUAGCAGCCGGAUUCAUAAAAGAAGUGUAUCACCCCGAUUGGCUCGCCAAUCCGGUUCUUGUACGCAAAAAGAAUAAUGAAUGGAGAAUGUGCAUUGAUUACACUGAUCUUAACAAACAUUGUCCUAAAGACCCUUUUGGUCUCCCUCGCAUCGACGAGGUGGUCGACUCAAUGGCCGGAUGCGAACUCCUCUCCUUUCUAGACUGCUACUCUGGUUAUCACCAGAUCUCGCUAAAGGAAGAAGAUCAGAUCAAAACAUCCUUCAUCACACCCUUCGGCGCAUACUGCUACACGACCAUGUCUUUCGGACUCAAAAACGCCGGGGCCACUUAUCAAAGGGCCAUCCAGCAAUGCCUCCACGACGAGAUUCGCGAUGACCUCGUCGAGGCCUAUGUGGACGACGUGGUCGUAAAAACAAGGGACGCGAGCACCCUAAUCGACAACUUAGACCGAACCUUCAAGGCACUCAAUAGGUACAAGUGGAAGCUCAACCCCAAGAAAUGCAUUUUCGGCGUUCCUUCCGGUCUACUGCUCGGCAACGUCGUCAGUCGCGACGGCAUACGACCAAACCCUUCAAAAGUCAAAGCCGUACUCGACAUGCGACCACCGAAGAACGUCAAGGACAUUCAGAAGCUAACCGGAUGCAUGGCCGCCCUCAGUCGUUUCAUCUCAAGGCUGGGAGAAAAAGGCCUCCCUUUCUUCAAACUAUUGAAAGCGUCAGAAAAAUUUUCUUGGACAGAGGAAGCCGACGCUGCGUUCACUCAGCUUAAGACCUUCCUCACUUCACCACCUGUCCUCACAGCGCCUCAACCCAAUGAAGAUCUACUUCUUUACAUUGCUGCAACCGACAGGGUUGUUUCCACGGCAAUAGUGGUCGAGCGAGAUGAACCAGGUCACGCCUACAAGGUCCAGAGACCCGUUUACUUCAUAAGUGAAGUCCUAAAUGAGUCCAAGGCCAGGUAUCCACAAAUACAGAAGCUCAUAUACGCCAUUCUGAUAACGUCAAGAAAGCUGAAGCACUACUUCGACGGCCAUCGAGUCCUGGUGACAACCAGUUUCCCUCUCGGAGACAUCCUGCGCAAUAAAGACGCCAAUGGCAGAAUCGUGAAAUGGGCGAUGGAAUUGUGCCCAUUUUCGCUGGAGUUCCAGAGCCGAACUACGGUCAAGUCUCAGGCCCUGGUCGAUUUCAUUGCUGAAUGGACGGAUCUCAAUGAGCCUCCCGUUCCUGAUGUCUCAGACCACUGGUCAAUGUUCUUUGAUGGGUCCUUGAACAUCAACGGUGUCGGCGCUGGGGUACUGUUCGUAUCACCCAACAAGGACAAACUGCGUUACGUCCUUCGGAUCCUUUUUCCGGCGUCAAACAACGUCGCCGAAUACGAAGCAUGCUUGCAUGGCAUAAGACUAGCCAUUGAACUGGGGGUCAAGCGCCUCUAUGUCUAUGGCGACUCCGCUUUGGUCAUCAACCAGCUCAACAAGGAGUGGGACGCAACCCACGAGAAGAUGGAUCUCUACUGCAAAGAAAUUUGCAAAUGGGAAACCAACUUCUAUGGCAUAGAAUACAUCCACGUGGUCCGGGAUAAGAACCAAGCAGCAGAUGCGUUGUCAAAGUUAGGCUCAUCUCGGGCCCAAAUCCCGCGGGGUAUUUUCGUCCAGGACAUCCAUGAGCCGAGCGUAGGCUCCUCCCUGGUCGACAGGCAACCCACCGAGGCAAUGCUCAUAGACGACGCCACUCCGACAACCGGUGGGCGUGACUGGCGUACCCCGUUCAUCAAAUACAUAUCAGACGGGACAGGUUUUCAGGACAAAACAGAGAACGAGCGCCUCAUCCGACGAUCAAAGAACUACAUCCUGGUCGACGGAAAACUCAUGCGGAAAAACGCAAGCUCCGAAGUACUGCUCAAGUGCAUACCCCAAGAUGAUGGUAUCAAGCUCUUAGAGGACAUACAUGCUGGAUCCUGCGGCAAUCACGCCGCAUCUAGAACGUUGGUCGAAAAGGCUUUCCGAGCAGGUUUUUAUUGGCCAACCGCGGUCGGCGACGCAGAAAAACUGGUUCGACAUUGCGAAGGAUGUCAGUUUUUCGCUAAGAGGACCCAUGUACCUGCCCAUGAAAUUCAAACCAUCCCGUCGUCUUGGCCCUUUGCUUGCUGGGGGCUUGACAUGAUAGGACCAUUUAAACCAGCCCCGGGCAAUUUCAAGUUUGUCUUCGUGUUAAUCGACAAGUUCUCCAAGUGGAUUGAAUACAUGCCCAUGGUCAAGGCAACCUCCGAGAAGGCUGUGGAGUUCCUCAAUCAAAUCAUACACAGAUUCGGCAUCCCGAACAGCAUAAUCACCGAUCUGGGCACUCAGUUUACUGGCACUACUUUUUGGGACUUCUGCGAUGACAGAGGCAUAGUAAUAAAAUACGUGUCAGUGGCACAUCCACAUGCCAACGGUCAAGUUGAACGUGCUAACGGAAUGAUCGUUGACGCCCUAAAGAAAAGGUUGUACACCGAAAACGACAGAGCACCCGGUCGAUGGAUGAAAGAAUUGCCGGCAGUGGUCUGGGGCCUCCGAACUCAGACCAGUCGAAACACAGGGGUGUCUCCCUACUUCAUGGUGUACGGUGCAGAGGCGGUCCUGCCGUCCGACAUACACUUCGGAUCUCCUAGAAUCGAACACUUCGACCAGGCGACCGCCGACAAUGCCAGAGAACUCGAAAUCAAUUGCAUGGAGGAAAAGCGUUUAGAUUCUUGCCUCCGAACAGCAAAAUAUCUCGCGGCAGUCAGGCGAUACUACAACAGGAAUGUCAAAGACCGUUCCUUUGUGGUCGGCGAUCUGGUACUUCGAUGGAAAACAAGCCAGGAGGGAAUGCACAAGCUAUCCACUCCCUGGGAAGGACCUUUCGUGGUGACCGAGGUCACACGACCCACGUCCUACAGAUUGGCAUACCCAGACGGAACACGAGUGCCUAACUCUUGGCACAUCGACAAACUGCGACGUUUCUAUCCAUAAAGUUUUGAUAACUUUCCUUUGUAAGUAUCUUAUAAUUUUUGAUAAUGAAAUUCUCUAUUUUUUGCCUAUACCUUGUCGCACACAGCACUCGGCAAAACUCCUGCAAUGGAUGCUCCUAGCGACUACCGAGACGAAUACGGUAACACGUCACUCAGAUAUUCUUACAGCGCUCAAAACAACAGUCAUGACAAAAAGCAAACUUUAUUACAAACUUUACACACAAAGUUUACAAUAAAUACCCUGACGGGCAGACACUAGUCUAUUCCUACAGACUACUUUAUUGGCCUAGCUGCUCGGGCUGAUCACCCGCCUGGCCCUGCUGCCUGGACGAAGGGGUCGGGGCCACCGGCGCCUGGCUGGUCGAGACCGCAGGCGUCGACCGCCCAUCUCCCGCAACGGAUGCGCCCGACAACUCCCUGGCCGACCUAUCUGAACUCGGCUGGUCUGGAGGAGUGGCCGUUCCGCACAGAUUGAUGUCGCCGAUCACCGUCGACGACAAGUCCAGCAGACUACCCCGAAGUUCGUCCGCUUCCUGAGGGCCGACUUCCUUCGGGUACCCCUUCUCCAGCCUGCUCAAGUCGACCAGGGGGUAGUGGGCGCGCACCAUGCUGAGGACGUGCGCGCCGGCAAACUCCCCAGCGUCCUUCACAAACUACUGGAGCCAGUCCCACGCCCGUUGCGCCUUCUCGACCGGGGUCAACUGCGGCGCGCGGGGCUGGCUCUCCGCGAGCUCGGGACUGAUCAGGUCUAGGACCGGGGACACUCCUUUCCAGAUCCUGCAACAGUUGACCUUCCAGGAGUCCCGGUCCUUGAUCAGAUCAUCCAGGUGCUUCUUGGCGUUCACCUUGAGCACUGCAAACGAAACAAGGCGUUAUUUUUGGCAUACUAAACAAACAAAGGGGCGACAAGCAGCAGCUAACAAGGCGGCACCCAUUACCAGAUAAUUCCCGGUCCUUUCGGCCCAAUUCCUCUCCUGCUCGCCGCCCGGACUCCAGCGCACCGGCGAGCUGUUGGCUGAGCUGCUCCUUCUCUUGUCGGAGGCGCGCCACCUCCUCCUCCAAGUCUGUGUGAACCAUAAACUGGUCAGUAAAGCAAACUACACAAGUACGCAAAGCUGCUCGGAGCGUGUGACUAACCUUCUCACUGCCGGUACUGGUCGGCCAAGCGACGAGUGAGGUCGAGACGACGCUCCUCCUGGACACUCAUCUCGGCCACCUUCUCCCCGACCUCCGAACGCAGCCGGUCUACCUCCGCGGCAAGGGCCUUGUUCUCGGCCAUGACGCCUUCUAUCUGGUCAAAGCACCGUUUCCGGUACUUUGCCGUUUUCAUUGCGCCCUACAAAGCGAGCAUAUAACGACCAUGCAAGACAAGGCAUAGAAUGUACAGCAGUACAAAAAGUCGCUUACCUUGACUUCGUCGACGAGGCGUUUGGCCGCGCGCUCCACCCUGGCGGCCUCUUCGGUCUCGGCGAGCUCCUCAUGCCCGAUAAAGUGAUCCCCGCGUUGGCGCCACACAUACACGUGUUGGCGGCCAUCACGGGGACGACCCUCAAUCUCUUCCACCUCAUCAUCGGAGGCCGCCCGGGUUUCCUCCUCCUGUGCUGCGUCACCCCCGGUGGUGGUCCCAGGUAUUACUGGUCCUCGGACCAGACCUGGGGAGCCCGCAGCCGAAGAGGCUCCUGCUCGGGGCGGCGUGGGGACUUCACUCCCCCCGGCAGGAGGAGCGGUCGGAGAUCUUCCCUCCUCUGAGGAGCCAGUUGGGGGAGCCUCUCCAGCCCUGGUCGGGCUGCCUGUCGUAGUCGGUGCCGCGGUCGGGAGCCCCUCGGUGCUCCCAGGCGCGACUGCAGCUGUUGGCUGCUCUGUGGUCUGGGGGGCCGUAUCCUCAGCAGCGUGGACUGGCUUGCCCGUCCCCUGGCUGGCAGCCUGGCCGGGGUCGACAUCCGACGCCGCACUACAGGAACAAAAGUGUAAUUUCAAAAAAAAAAAUCAAAGAGGAGUCCAAAAUACGUAAGUCGAACACUUACAGGUCUGAUCGACGGUGGGUGGCGGUGAACCUCCUCCUCGCCCGGCCGGUCGGCACCUGCGCCCCCAUCUCGACAACUUGCGGUGCAGGGGCAUCGCUGGCCACUCGAUCAGUAGCGGCCGGCGCAAUAUCUGGGCGGCCCCGGGGCCGUCGGACCAACGACGGCGCAGCCUCCUCGUCGUCGUCGUCGUCAACGAUCCGCACGAGCCGACGACGCUUCGGUGCUUGGCUGCUCUCCACCGGUAGACCUGCCGGCAGCUCCGGUGUCGGCAAAGGAUCUGCCGGCAAUGGCCUCUUCCCCGCUACCCUCUCCUCGGAGGUCGGGACGGGGCGGGCUUGGUCCUCUUCACUGCUGGUGUAAUGAGUACACCGAGCAGCGUCCUCCUCUGGCGGGUCUUCUCCCGCAGGAUUUUCCAUCCCCGGUGCCAGUGAUACAUACACUGUGCACCGGUCGACAUCGCCGAUCUGCAAAAGCAACAGAGAUGAGUCAGCUGCCGACGAUAUACGAAUGCUAAAACAAAAUAAUCUGCUACAUACCUUUGGUGCUGGUCGUCCUAACUUGAAGGCUUGCACCCGAUCACUGCCACGGAUGAAGCCUCCGUCCGCGAAGUUAAACAGCUCGUUCAACAGCUGUUGUACCUCCGCUUUCUCCAAGAUCUCUGGCCGCAUCCUGAUCGGGUCCACGCUUCCGGCAUACUCGUACGCCGAGUGCACCCUCUUCUGGCAGGGCAUCACCCGACGACAAAUGAAGUUGCCGACCACGCCAAGCCCGUCCAGGCGCGACCAGUCGAUCAGCUUCAUGAGAUCCGCCACUGGACCGUCGAACUCCGGGCGGUCGGUCCAGCUCAUCCUCUUCUCAAGAAUGUAUCCCACGUCGCAGAAUGUGGAGCUGCCCGGUUCCUCCCUGAUGUAGAACCACUUCCUGUACCAUUCGGUUAAGGAAGUGUUCCAUGGACAGUGCAGGUAGCGAUUCUUCAUUCCAUCACGAAGGUUGAGGUAUACUCCACCUGCAACCUUGGAGCCUCCAACUGCUCCCUUCUUCCUCAAGCAGAAAAGAUACCGAAAAAGAUCGAAGUGCGGCUCUAUGCCAACAUAGGCUUCGCACAGGUGGAUAAAAGUGGAAAUGAGGAGAAUUGAGUUCGGGUGCAGAUUGCAAAUCCCGAUCUCAUAGUAUAAAAGAAGACCUUGAAGAAAAGGAUGAACAGGAACACCAAAGCCCCUCUUAAUGAAAUCUUCAAAUACGACGAUCUCACCGGCGCGAGGGUCGGGGUAGCUCUCCCCCUCCGGUGCCCUCCAGCCGCCGAUCUCCUGGCCGUGCAGAAGCCCCAUAUCGACGAGGUCACCAAGAGAUUUCGUGGUGCUGCGAGACUUCUUCCACUCCUUGGCCAUCAGUUCGGCCCUCUUCCUGGAGUCGCUCUUCGCCAUUAGAGGUGCGAAUGUGGGCUUGAGUUAGGAAGAUGCAGGCGAUUGGGGGAGAUGAGAGCGGAAGGUUUGAAGGCAAUGGCAGGGUAAGCAGUACAGGUGGAACUAUCAGGCUCUUAUAGCCCGCAACUCCACCUCUCCCACUUCCCGUAUUCUCGGGAAGUGGGCGGGCCAUGCGGCGGAUGCGGCGUUUCGGUUUACAAUGAUUAUAGACAAUUAAUGCGGCGGAUUUUUCGUACCAAUUGAUGGUUUCCUUUUCUCAAACCAUGCAAAGGGCGGCUGCACAGUUGCCAGGCGCAACUUUUCAUGCAUCCGUCUGACACCCCGUCAGGAGGCCUCGUCACGUCAACUUUAACUGGAAAGAUCUUUUCAAAAAACAAGAAGACACAUACGCCAGAGAGUCAACAAUCCGGGGACUGCACCGACCACCGGGCAUUCGACGCUCGGGGACUGGUCGCCCAGUCUAUCAGCUCGGAACUUCAAGGACUGCGCCGACCACCGAGCAUUCGACGCUCGGGGACUGGUCGCCCAGUCUAUCAGCUCGGAACUUCAAGGACUGCGCCGACCACCGAGCAUUCGACGCUCGGGGACUGGUCGCCCAGUCUAUCAGCUCGGAACUUCAAGGACUGCACCGACCACCGAGCACUCGACGCUCGGGGACUGGUCGCCCAGUCUAUCAGCUAGAAGCUUUAAAGAACUGCACCGACCACCGAGCACUCGAUGCUCGGGGACUGGUCGUACAGUACAGCAACACAGAAUUCUAAAAAGCACUUGGUGCUUGGUGACUGGUCGAUUAAUCUAUUCAAUUGCAGUCAGACUGGUAAAUUCAACUUUUUAGACCUUGCUACAAGGCUCAUACUUCGCCUUCCAGCAAGCUCUGGGACUACAUCGGUACGAUGCAUCUGGCGAUGCAUCUCAGUUACAGAAUUUCUUUGAGGACUUUUGUUUUGACCCUGGCACCACGUGCCUGCGUCACCUACUACCAGGCUCGGGGACUAAGUGGGCACACUUCACCUUGCGGUGAAUUUGCUUGCUUUUUUGAUGUUUAUACCUUUCAAAAAAGUAAAGUGAGCACACUUCACCAGGAAAGAAAUCUUUUUUAAUUUAGAGCACCAUGCUUUCUUCGAACAACCUGCUUUUUCGAUGUCAAUGUUGAUCAACUGUCUUUUGAGUUGGUCAAAAUGCUGUUGCAACUGUUCGGGCAACUUUCCUGAAGACGUCAAGCCUCACUGAUCGAAGAAGCUCAAGACGGCGUGUUACAUCAUAAUACAUGGUGCUCGGGGACUAGCUGUGGGGGUAUAAACCCCUAUACCCUUACGACUGGACUUGGGCCAGGAGGCUUGGCCCAUUACGAGACGAGUUCAAAGCUUGAUCCGACAACCUGGAGUUCCGCGCAAGGAAACAAGAUGUGGAGAUCAAGCAGGAUUUCUGGUCGGUUAGAAUAGGAAUUGAUAUCGAAUUAUCCAUGGCAAUUGUAACCGACUAGGAUUAGUUUCUAGAUCUGUAACCCUGCCCUCCAGACUAUAUAAGGAGGGGCAAGGUACCCCCUAGGACAGAUUAUCUCUCAACACAAUCCAAUACAACCAGACGCAGGACGUAGGUAUUACGCCAACUCGGCGGCCGAACCUGGAUAAAAAGCUUGUCCGUGUCUUGCGUCACCAUCGAGUUCGUAGUUUGCGCACCGUCUACCGAUAAACUACUACCGUGGGUAUACCCCAAGGUCGACUGCCGACUAGCUUUCGUCGACAUCCGUCGGUUGGCCGCUAUCUAUAAAUACGCCGUGGCGUUGCUCCAUUCUUUCUUUCCCCUUCCGUCCUCUCGCCUUCGUCUUCUCGCUGCCUUUGCUCUCUUGCUUCCUCCACGCGCGCGUGCACCCCCUCGAGCGGUAGUGAAUCCACCAUUCUUCCAACCAAGAUGCCUGUGAGGCUUGUUGCCGCCGACGACUGGCGUCCGUCGUUGAUGACGGACCGCCGUCUGCUAGAGCUCGAGAAUGAAGGGCUCUUGUGCCGCCGCACUUCGCAGUCUUCGCCGGAGUGGAUCGCGCCGCCGGCGAGUCACAGGGAGCCCCAGCCACCCGAGGGCUAUGUGGUGUCAUUCGCCAAGUUCCACCGCCAUGGCUUGGGUGCUCCCCCAAGUCGCUUUAUGCGGGCCCUCUGCUUCCACUAUGGAGUGGAGCUCCAGCAUUUUUCCCCGAACGCCAUCACCGUCGCGGCGGUCUUCGUCGCGGUGUGUGAGGGCUAUCUGGGGAUGAUGCCCCAUUGGGAUCUAUGGCCCCACCGGAACCACCGGCGUGAGGAAACCCGUGCGGGCCGGAUGCCUCAACCUGGUGUUGAAGACGAAGAAGACGGAAAGGCCGCGCGAGUACAUCCCGGUGGGGCUGUCGUCGAAUCAUGCUGGGUGGGACUCCCAGUGGUUCUAUCUGAGAAACGACGACGGUCUCUUCCCCACCUACACGGGCCGUCUGAUCUCGGAGCGCCCAGACAACUGGACGUAUGGCGUCGUCCAGGAGCACCAGUCGCGGCUUGACCCCCUCCUCGACGCCAUGAAGAAGCUGCGCCUGGAGGGCCUGUCCGCCGCUCUCGUCCUUUCGGCCGUCCAUCGUCGGAGGUUCCUUCCCCUGACGUCUCGGCCGUUGAGGAUGGACGAAAUGGGGCUGGGCGUCUCGUCCCGGGAUCUCAAAGCUUGCCGGAUGUCCAACGUGGCUCUGGCGGACGAUGAAGUCGCCGCCCGGGUCAGGGCGGCCAUCGCCGGCGACUUCAAGUCGCAGCACGUCAAAGGCUUCCCCAUGAGGCCUGAUGAAGGCUCGGUCGAUCUGGUAUGUUUUCUUCCUCGCGGGUAGCCUUGACACUGGGUUCCUUUUCCACCCCCUUUUUCUAAGUCUACUUUUUACGGUGGCAGGGGCGGAUCGACGUUCGAUCCUCGAGGCCCCCGGUGAGGGUGGACGAAGUCGACCGCGACGCGCGGCGCCGGUCCGCCGAGAAGUCGAAGUCCGUCAAGGACUCUAAGAAGAAGGGGGAGAAGAAGAAAAACCUCGACCGGCAAGCCUUAGAGGCGCGCCGGUCCAAGUCCAGGCAGAGGGGAGAGCCUGAGGAAGAGUCCCCCAGCGAGAAAGAUGACGACGAUGACGAGGACAGUGAGGACUCCGAGGGGAUGGCGUCUCGUCUUGACCGGAUCCUCGGGGGUCCAUCUCAAGGCGACGUCGACGCUCCUCGGGCGGAAGCUCCGACGGGGGGCCCAGGCGGAUCCUACCGUCCUCGCGCCGAUACCCCUCCCGCGCCCAAGGUCAGCCAAGUCGUGCCGCGCCCUCCCCCGGCGCUCAGGGAGAGCGGUCAUGCCAGGCCCCAAGCGACGGGGCCACUGACCCGCGGUCGCGCAGCGGCCUCCGAGAAAGGAGAGGUCGGCCGCAGGAGCGCCAGUCCCGGCGCCCGUCAGGCGGGAACUGACGCACCUAGGCCAGCACCUGCCCUCGAGGGGCCUGGAGCCCUGACGCGGGGUGGCUCGAGGCCCACCAGUCGGGACGGAGGGAGGCGAGCUGUUCUCCCCGUGGGGUAAGCCUUCUCAAUGCUGUGGCUUUUGUCUUCCUGUUCCUCUGCGUUUGCUCAUAUACCGAUCUUUUCUCAGGCUAAAGCGGAUCCUCGAGCAGGCCCAGCCAUCCAUGGCAAAGAGGCUCAAAACGGGCGCCGCCUCCAAGAAACCAGGUUCGUAGUUUAUUUCUGGGCCUUGCGAUGUUCUUGUGUCGGUUAUUAUAACGUCUGACCUUUUUACCCUUUGUUUUGUAGGCUCCUCCAGUUCCCAACCUCCAGCCGGCGUCGAGAGGGCUCCGUCUCGUCCCGCGCCUAUUCCGUCGCUGCCGACUUGUGAUGAGGCGCCCCAGACGCAAGCGUCAGAGGGAGCCCCCGAUCCCCCUAGAUUGGGGGUCGAGGGGGAACCCAUCACCAUCAGCGACACGUCUGAUGGUGACAGAGCGUCUGGGGGUGCCCGCCCCAUGGAGGAGGAAACGUCGACCCCUCAUGUCGAGGGAUCAACUCCCUGGCCCGCCGGCCUCCGCACCCUCGAGGAGCAGAAAAAGAAGAGGGAGGGGGAUGAACAGCGGGAGCGCGAGGCGGCGCGGCAGCCACAGGAGCAUGAGGCACAGCAACAGCAGCAACAACAACAGCAGCAACAGCAACAGCAACAGCGGCAGCAGCAACAGCAACAACCGCAGGAGCAACCGCAGCAGCAGCAGCAGCACCCACCGCAGCAGCAACAGCAGCAGCAGCAGGCGGGCCAAGAGGAGGGACCGCUCGAGCCUCCGCCCUAAUGUCCGGCCCAGCCAGUGCCACCGGAGCCGCAAGAUCUCGGCGAGGAGGACUUGCCGGUGUACGGCCCCCCAACCCCGGCGUGGCUCCUCCUGGGGGCACCUGCCGCGAUCCGGGCAGAGCCGGGGCGAGCGGAUGGAGUGGUGGCGCUCGCCUGCCUGAAGCGCACGCCCCCCGACCCCCGAGUCCGAUAUCAAGAGGACAAUUUACGGCAUGGACGGGAUCGCCCCAGGGUUCCUCCGGGAACGUCGGGCGUGGGAGGACCGCUUUCCUUCCGAGGAGGAUGAAAUUGGGGCAUCGGGGACCAAGGAUGGAACCUGGAAGACGGUGGACGACGACGGACGGUUCCCAUGCCUCGUCGACCUGUUCCUGCGCCAUGGGGGCUCCCUCGAGACCGUCGAGGGCCUCAUCCGCGGCGUUAAGGCGCGGGCUGACCGGGAGAUGGAGCACUGGUGCCCCGACCGCAUCCGUAUCCGGGCCUCCCACGACCCGUCUGAGCCCGACAUCUUCCUCGACGAUCGGAAGGAGGCGGAGAAGUGGGAACACGUCGAGGAGCUCCGCCUUUGGAUGAAGCAUGUGGUGGGGCUCCUCUCGGACGUUAUCAACAACGGGCUCGGCCCGUAAGUGUUUCUCGAACUCCAAUCCUCAUGGUGCUUUCUGGUUUCUGUAUUCUAAUCCAUCCGACCCUUGAUUCGCAGGAUAUGAAAGAGACCUCCCGCAUCAAGUCCAGCUUCAUACACGCCACGAGGGGCGGUUGGGAGCAGCUCCCCCUCCUCAAGGAUCAACUCCUCGAGUCGCAGAAAAAGCUCCUUAAAGCUUACAAAGAUCUCAUAGCACUCGAGGAGGAGAAGAAGGCGAGGGAAGCUGCCUUGGCUGAGGCCCGAGAGGCCUCGAAGAAGGCGGAGAAGGAGACGAUGCAGCUACGGGAGCGGGCUCUUACGGUCGAGGAGGCCGCGUCCAGAGCCCGGGAGGAGGCCCUAUCCUACAAGAGCGUUAUCGCGGAUCUGGACAAGGAGAAGGGCCUCCUUAAAUCCGACCUGGACUCUCUCCGAGAGUCCUUCCGAAAAAUGAAGGUGGAGCAUGUGAACGGCGAGGUCGCCAGGGGCGCCGCGGAGGAAGCCAAGAAGAAGGCCCUCGAAGAUCUCGAGGCGGAGCGGGCUCGAUCCCGCAGUCUCUCUAACGACGUCGAGCGUCUGAAGGGAGAAUUGCUGGAGAAGAGUGGGGCCAUUGCUCAGGCUGGCAAGGCGAUCGAGGAUCUUCGCGUUACCAACACCGAGCUGGCACGCUCCAACAAAGAGAUCGAGGGGGCCAACACCAGGCUGGUCGGCGAGAACACGGCCCUCGAGGAGACCGUACGCGGUAUGUUUCCUCUAUCAGAUUUCUUUUUCCGAGGUGUGCUUAGUUUUUCCUAAGGUCUCUUUAUAUUGGCUUUUACAGGGCUCAAGGACGAACUCCUGGCCGCCCAAGCCGAGGCUCGCAACGCCAAGGCUCAGCUCGAGGCGGAGGUUGCUUUGAACCGUCGAGUGCGGACGGCGAUAAGUGAUCUCUCGACCUAUUGGGAGGUCGAGCCUAUGGAUGAGUCGAGGGAGGACGCUCGAGGCGACGCCCUGGUCGACCAGUUGUGCUACAUAGGCGCGACGCUGCGAGAUCGGGUGCGGGACGCCCUCCACAUCGGGGUGAAGCGGGCGAUGGCGGUUGUCUGCUCGGGCUUCUCCUACGACAUGGAGGUGGUGUCCCAUGGCUUCGUCACCGACAUCUCCAAGACCGAUGCGUAGAAUGAGGAGAGGCUCCAUGCCUUGAUCGACGACGCAGAGGCUCCUGGGGAAAGGUUGGCCAAGCUUUUCGAGCCUGAGGUGCUCCCUCCUGAGGCUAGCUCGGGCGGAGGCGAGGGCGGUGAGGAUCGUGCCGCGGACUGAGGCCUGCGAGCCUGCUCAGGGCGCCUGAGGCCCCUUGUACGAUACUUUGUUAAUUCUGUGGGUAACUGAUGUUGUAUCACUUUCGUAAUUGUUAAAUGCUUAUUUUGUCUUUCCGCUUGAUGCUUUCGUUUCUCUUUGCGCCUACGUUUGUAUCCCUUGCUCGAUUUUUCGUAAAAGACCACCUCGAUCACUUCAAUGGUGGGGAAGUGAGUAGAGUUUCCGUAGCCCGGGGGCGUAGGAGUUCUCCAGCUCGUUGUCCCUCAGCCUUUGAGGGGCUCGAGGCGCCUUAGGUACUUGAACCGUGCAAGGUUUACUACGUAAGAAAAGAAAACUUCUUGGUUUUUUCAAUACUCGGGGGGGGGUCAUCCCCCUGGUAGCCCCCGAGGGGGUGCUGACUAUGACGGGUCAUAGUCGGCGCCCCCUUUUAACGUCGAGAUCGUGACUUAUUAAUCUUCUCGGCACAAAGAAAGAAGAAUUGUUUCGAGGGAAGGACUUUAUUUAUUCAUUCAUUCGUUUACAAAGUCUCGGUACAAAACGUAAGCAGGAACAUAAGUUUAGAACUUCUAGGGGUAGAAUCGACGUAGCUGUUCGAUGUUCCAUGCGUUGGUGAGAAUUGCCCCCUUUUCGUCCGCCAGCUUGUACGUUCCCGGCUUCAGGACCUCGGCCACCACGUACGGACCUUCCCAAGGCGGAGUCAGCUUGUGGCGUCCAUGAUUGCUUUGCCGGCGUCGUAGGACUAGGUCGCCCACGUUGAGGUCCCUCUUGCGCACAUGCUUGUCGUGGUAGCGUCGAAGCCUUUGGUGAUAUCUGGCAGAGUUGAGGAGGGCCAUGUCUCUAGCCUCCUCAAGUUGGUCGACCGCGUUUUCUUGAGUCUCUUUGUUCGAUUGCUCGUUGUAGGCCUUGAGUCGAGGUGACCCAUACUCGAGGUCUGUGGGGAGGAUAGCCUCAGAGCCGUAGAUCAUGAAGAACGGGGUGGAUUUUGUGGCCCUGCUUGGUGUUGUCCUAAGGCUCCAUAGGACUGAGGAAAGCUCCUCGACCCAUUUUUUGCCGAAUUUCUUCAAUCGAUUGUAGAUCCUUGGCUUGAGUCCUUGCAAAAUCAUGCCGUUGGCACGCUCGACUUGGCCGUUAGUUCGAGGAUGGGCUACUGCAGACCAGUUGACGCGGAUGUGAUGCCGAUCGCAGAAGUCCAAGAACUUUUUGCCGAUGAACUGGGUGCCGUUGUCGGUGAUGAUGACAUUGGGGAUCCCAAACCGAUGGAUGAUGUCGGUGAAGAAAAGGACGGCCUGCUCGGAGCGGAUGUUGGUGAUGGGUCGAGCCUCGAUCCAUUUGGAGAACUUGUCAAUGGCCACCAGCAAAUGGGUGAAUCCUCCUUUCGCCUUUUGUAGAGGUCCUACUAAAUCGAGCCCCCACACCGCAAACGGCCAGGUAAUGGGGAUCAUCUGAAGAGCGUGGGCAGGCAGAUGCGUCUGCUUGGCGUAGAACUGACACCCGUGACAUGAUCGUACGAGCUCGAUGGCGUCCGCCACGGCCGUUGGCCAGUAGAAGCCUUGUCGAAAAGCGUUCCCUACAAGGGUCCGUGGAGCGGCGUGGUGACCGCAAGCCCCCGAGUGCAGGUCAUCGAGGAGUUUUCGGCCUUCUUCCACGGUGAUGCAACGUUGUAAGACCCCCGUCAGGCUCCGUCGAUAUAGCUCGUUGUCUUCGCCAUAGAUCACAUAUGAUUUGGCCCGUCGAGCGAUACGACGAGCUUCUGACCUGUCUUCUGGCAACUCGCCGCGGAUAAGGCAGUCGAGGAACGGUGUGCGCCAAUCGAAUGGUCGACCUGGUCAUCGUUCUAUCUCCAUCAUCUCUUCCACCAUCAAGAGCGUAUCGACAGCAUUGGUUGGUUGGGCGGUGGUGGCGUCGACGCCAGCCCCCGUGCCUAGGUCGACGGAUGGCUCGUGAAGAUCUUUUGAGAAUGCAUCAGGCGGCACCGUGCCUCUGGUCGAUGCGAUCUUGGCGAGUUCGUCGGCUGCCUCAUUGUAGCGUCGAGCGAUAUGGACAAGCUCGAGACCGUGGAACCUGUCCUCGAGUCGACGGACCUCCUUGCAGUACGCUUCCAUUUUUGGGUCGUGGCAGCUCGAGGUUUUCAUUACUUGGUCGAUGACGAGUUGGGAGUCACCUCGGACGUCGAGGCGUCGGACUCCUAACUCGAUAGCGAUCUUGAGACCGUUGAUGAGGGCCUCAUAUUCUGCGACAUUGUUAGAUGCGGCAAAAUGAAUCCUGAUUACGUACCUCAUGUGGACGCCCAAGGGUGAGAUGAACAGCAGGCCGGCUCCGGCUCCAGUUUUCAUGAGUGACCCAUCGAAAUACAUCGUCCAUAGCUCCGCCUGGACCUGGGUCAGGGGGAGCUGGGUGUCCGUCCAUUCUGCGAUGAAGUCUACCAGGGCCUGCGAUUUGAUGGCCUUGCGAGGCGCAUAAGUGAGAGUCUCACUCAUGAGCUCGACCGACCAUUUUGCUAUUCUUCCCGUGGCUUCUUUGCUCUGGAUUAUUUCGCCUAAAGGAAAAGACGAGACCACCGUGAUGGGGUGGCCAAGGAAGUAAUGCUGCAGCUUGCGACGGGCAAGGAUUACGGCAUAAAUCAGCUUCUGGAUUUGGGGAUAACGUGUUUUGGUCUCCGAAAGCACCUCGCUGACGAAAUAUACUGGCCUCUGAAUCGGUAACGCAUGUCCCUCCUCCUGCCUCUCGACCACCACCGCUGCGCUGACGACCUGGGACGCCGACGCGACGUAGAGGAGCAGCGGCUCUGCAGGUUGAGGUGGAACCAGGACUGGUGCCGAGGUCAGCGUCUUCUUCAGCCUUUCGAGUGCUUCCUCGGCCUCGGGGGUCCAAGAAAAGCGCUCGACCUUCUUUAGGAGUCGAUAUAAUGGUAAUGCCUUUUCUCCUAGUCUCGAGAUGAAACGGCUCAGAGCCGCCAGGCACCCCGUGACUCUCUGUACACCCUUGAUGUCUCGGAUCGGCCCCAUUUUCGUGAUGGCCAAGAUUUUCUCGGGGUUGGCCUCGAUGCCGCGCUGCGAAACGAUGUAUCCUAGGAGCAUGCCUCGAGGCACACCGAAAACGCACUUCUCGGGAUUGAGCUUGAUCCGGCUGGUGCAUAGGCAGCUAAAGGCAAUCUCGAGGUCCUGGAUCAGGUCUCCUCGUCGCUUUGACUUGACGACAAUGUCGUCGACGUAGGCCUCGACCGUUGACCCUAUAUGUUUGCCAAAUACGUGGAGCAUGCAACGUUGAUACGUGGCUCCCGCGUUUCGAAGCCCAAAUGGCAUGGUCACGUAGCAAUACAUCCCAAAAGGCGUGAUGAAAGAGGUCGCGAGUUGGUCGGACUCCUUCAUUUUUAUUUGGUGGUAACCAGAAUAUGCAUCAAGGAAAGAAAGGGUUUCACAUCCCGCGGUAGAAUCGACAAUCUGAUCAAUGUGUGGCAAUGGAAAGGGAACUUUUGGACAUGCUUUAUUCAGACUAGUAUAAUCGACACACAUCCUCAUUUUCCCAUUCUUUUUCUUAACUAAUACAGGGUUUGCUAACCAGUCAGGAUGAUGAACCUCCUUGAUGAAUCUGGCCGUCAAAAGCUUGUGGACUUCCUCGCCAAUGAUCUUGCGCUUCUCCUCAUCGAAUCGGCGCAACCGCUGCUUCACUGGCUUGGAACCGGCUCGAAUCUCCAAGGAGUGCUCGGCGACUUCCCUUGGUAUGCCUGGCAUGUCCGAGGGACUCCAUGCAAACAUAUCAGCAUUUGCACAGAGAAAGUCGACGAGCACGGCUUCCUAUUUGGGGUCGAGGUCGGCGCUGAUCGUUAGCACUUUGCCGUCGGAGUUGUUGGGGUCGAGCGGGAUCUUCUUGGUUCCUUCCGCCGCCUCGAAGCUGCCCGCAUGACGCUUAGGCUCUGGAGCCUCAGCGGCCAUGGCCUCGAGCUUUGCAACGAGCUCGGUGGAGCUCUCGACCGCCUCCCCGUACUUGACGCACUCGACGUCGCACUCGUACGCGUGCUCGAAGGAGGAACUGACAGUGAUGAUGCCUUUGGGACCAGGCAUCUUCAGCUUCAAGUAGGUGUACUUGGGUAUAGCCAUGAACUUGGCGUAGCCCGGGCGCCCGAUGAUGGCGUGGUACGUGCCUCGGAACCCAACCACCUCAAAGGUGAGGGUCUCCUUCCUGAAGUUGGCCGCCGUGCCGAAGCAGACCGGUAGGUCAAUUCGACCUACUGGCAGUGCCUUUUUCCCUGGCACGACGCCAGGGAAACCGCCGGCGCUUGGCUGGAGGCGUCCUCUAUCGAUGCCGAGGAGGUCGAGGGUCUCGAGGUAGAUGAUGUUGAGGCUGCUGCCACCAUCCAUCAGCACUUUCGAGAGUCGGGUGUUGACGAUGAUGGGGUCGACGACGAGCGGGUAGACGCCCGGGGCGACUACCUUGUCGGGGUGGUCCUCUCGGUCGAAAGUGAUAGGAGUGCUUGACCAGCUAAGGUACUGGGGCACCGCCAUUCUUGCCGCAAAGACUUCGCGACGCUCCCUUUUGCGCUGCCUCAUGGUUAAUUGAGUCGAGGGCCCGCCAUAGAUCAUGUAGCAGUCGUGGACGGCGGGGAAGCCGUCGUCAUCUUUGUUGUCCUCCUUGCUGCCAGCCUUCUCUUUCUUGGAGUCAUCACGCGUAUCUUUUUUGAACCCCAGACCGUCGAAAUGCUUUCUCAGCAUACGACAGUCCUUGAGCUUGUGGUUGGCGCCUCCCUUAUGGUAAGGGCACGGCUCCUCCAACAUCUUGUCAAAGAUGCCUCCAUCCGGAGGGCCUCGAGGCUUCUUUCGAUCCAUGGCGGCGACAAGGUUGUCAUCGGAAUCUUCCCGGUGGAACUGCCGCACUUUCUGCUUCUUUUUAUUUUUCUUGAGGCCUCGACUGGGGGUCCCAUCUUCGUCGACGGGCUGCUUGCCUUUUCUUCCUUCUGAGCUGAAGAAGGCGCCGACUGCCUCCUCCCCUGCCGCGUAGUUGGCUACUACGUCCAUCAGCUCGUCGACGGUCUGAGGUCGAUUGCGACCUAAUUCCCGCACCAAGUCUCGACUGGUGGUGCCCGAGACAAACGCCAAGAUGACGUCGUGGUCAGGGAUGUGCGGCAGCUCAGUGCGCUGCUUUGAGAAGCGUCGAGCAUACUCCCGAAGAGUUUCUCCCGACUUCUGCUUGCACUUGCUGAGGUCCCACGAGUUCCCUGGCCGUAUGUAGGUCCCUUUGAAGUUACCCUCGAAGACUCUGACCAGAUCAACCCAGUUGUGGAUCUGAUUGGCAGGGAGUUCCUCGAGCCAUCGACGGGCGGUGUCGGAGAGGAAAAGGUGUAGCUGUCUGAUGAUGGCUCGAUCAUCACCUCGAGCGCCACCUAGCUGACAGGCCAGCCUGAAGUCGGCCAGCCACAACUCUGGUUUGGUCUUUCCAUUGUACUUCGCGAUGCUGGUCGGGGGUCGAAAUGGAUUGGGCAGGGGCGUGCUGCGGAUCGCCCUGCUGAACACCCGUGGGCCUGGUGGCUCGGGGGCCACCCGGUCCUCGUCGCUGUCGUAUCUCCCACCGCGAUGCGCGCUAUAACCGCGCUCUUCCGCGUCUCCGUGCCGGCGGCGUCAAUUUUCUUUGAUGUCGUGAAACGCGUCGUGUCGACGUUGAUUGUCGACGGGGAGGAUGAGAGCGGUCUUUCUACCUCGAGGGGGAGGUUGUUGAUGGACUGACACCUCCUCUUCGUUUAGAGGCUGUUCGUCGCGCUUCUCUGUGGCAGCUCCUCGUCGUCGAGACGCCGAACUUUUGGCUUGUUGAACCGCCGCCACCUGGAGCAAUGUCUGUACCUCAUCUCGAAUGCGUCGGGCCUGGGAAUUCGACGGCUCUGGGAAUUCGACACUUCCGCCCGGCGGGUAGGGCAGGUCUUGCUCGAGGAUUUGCUUGAGGAGGACGAGGCGCUCGCGGUCUUCGUCGAGCUUCAUCUUGAGCUCCCGCAGCUGCGCGAGCUGCGCGGUUCUGUCUUCCUGAGGAGGGGGGUCGACCUGUCCGUCGUUCCCAGGCGUCCUGGGGUCUUCUCGCGCCGUGGGGGCUCGACCACCCGCAGCAGCAUCCUGUGUCUCGUCAGUAGUUUCUACCGCCCCGUCGAUGUGAUAGCAUUCCCUCGUAGGGUCAUAGCUAUCUGUCUCGGAGUCGGAGUCCGGUUCGGCGGCGUAGAAACACCCACGUCCUUCCUCCAGCAAUCGUUGCCUGAGGGAGGUGAUCGAGUAUCGUCCGGGGCCUAGACGACGGAGGCCUUGUACUCGGGAAAGGUCCGGCAGCUCGGACGCCGGCCGCCGCGCUUCAGAGCUACGUGGGAGGACCAUUGGUCUUUCUACGUACAUCUGGGCGUUUGGGCAUAUCGCCCUGGCGAGCGACGCCGCGGCAUUGUCCAAUCCGAACGGCAGUGCCGCUCUUGGAGAGAACAACCCGUGUGGAAGUAGCCUAGCUGCGGUGGGGGAGAGCGCGCGAGACGCGUCCCCUCCCGUCGUCGCGCGGUGCUGAGUCGUCGCGCUUGUUGCUCCGUCACACGGUGCUGCCGACUUGUGGCCUACGUCCUGCCUGGCACGAGUUGUUGGUCGUGCUGAAGCAGAGGGGCCGCAGUGGUGCUGUCCGCGCCUCUUCUUAGGCGGGGAGGCGUGGUGGUGAGGGCGUCUCGGGGCCUUCAACCGUGCUGGCGUAACGCGGGCUCCUCCUUGUCCUUUGACUGAGAGCAAGAUCAUGUCGUAGCCGGAGCCCGUAGACAUGAACUCGAGACUCCCAAACCAAAUCACCGUGGAGCGCGGAAACGGCGAGGCAAGAGUAGCCAUCCGGAAAGGAGUGGGAAAUCGAUGAAAAACACGCAGGACCCCUACCUGGCGCGCCAACUGUCGGUGUUUUUCCCCCGGGGGGUCACACCAACGAGUAAAUUUGUAUGCGUGCUCCCUUUCCCGGAUGGUGAUGCAAGAAGACACAGAGAUUUAUCCUGGUUCGGGCAAGAGAAGGCCCUACGUCCAGCGGGGGGAGAGAGUUUGUAUUAUCUUGCACCUAAGUGCUUGUACAGGGGCGAAUACAAGCGUGGUAUGAAGUGUGGAGCUCUACUACGUAUGAGCGUGGUCUUGUGUCGUGAUCUCCCUGUUCUAUUCCUGAGUCCCUCCUUUUAUAGUUCCAAGGAAGGGCCUAGGGUACAUGUAUAGGUGUAGGAAUUGGAGUCGAUAGCAGCAUGGAGCGCUGACCUACUCGAGGUUUCCGUACCGGCAUGCCCUCGAGCCGUCCCGUCUUAAUAGCCUGGUGAUGAUCACGCGUGCCCCUGCAUUCUGCUCUGCACGCCGUCUUGGAUUGGUUCGGCGGAUGCACGCUUAUAUGGCUCGGCGGCAAAUCCGGCGGAGCGGUUACGGCGUGGUCAGUCGACGCCCGACUCGUCUCCAGGAAGGAGCCUGGUGAAGUCGAGGGUCGGACGCCGUACGAGGUGUCGAUAUCUGGAGCGCUGACCUUGGGUGUCUCGAGGGGGUCCCGAUUAGACGUUCCAUCCUUGUUUCCCGCGUCCUGACAUGCCCUGGGUCGUUCGGUGGGAAGGCUGCAAAAAGAACGAUGGGACAGAAGCCUGUUCCCUAUCACGCCUCCCGUGACCCGUGUGUUAGGUGGGGAAGCGUCAGGUGCAUUAAAUGCCCUGGCUCUCGCGCGCGCGUUAGGCGGCGGACAGUGUCCUUGCACUCGACGCCUCUCGGUUCGCUCGAGCCCGCUUCCGUAUUCGACGACAGUUGUCGCUCGAGCCCUGACCGAUUCGCUCGACGCUAUUUCCGUCUUCGAGGCUGCGGCCGUCGAUGGCCGCGCGUGUGUACGGAUGGUCUCGUUAUACGCAUUGGUGAGGGUACCCCUUGUUGAUACCCUCGACAAAGUGUUUUACGCGCCAGACCCAAAAAAGCAAAUUGGUGCAGUGUGCUUAGAGUUCUACCUAGAAACCUAUUUGCCAUGCCUAAAGGAGAAGGUAUUGACCAGGUGUGCGAGCUUGAUCUAGAUUCAGUUGUUGUUGGAGUGGAAGACAUGGUUCUUGAACAGCAAAAUGAAGAUGUGAGCACUUGGAGUAGGUCUGGCAUUGACGGUGUUACUAUUGAUGCUUCUGUUCUUGAUGAGAUUCGUGCAACACUAAUGGCUGAACCUGUCGAUGACCUAUUUGGUGAUGAUGAUGAGCCAGAUGACACUUACACUGCUGAUGGAGUCGUCCCUCAAUUCUUGACUACUGGAGAAGAUUCAGAUGAUGAUGAUUUUUUUGUGUAAUAAUUUAAACAAGAGAUAUUAGCAUUGCUUUUGUGUAAUAUUUGAAAAAUGAACUAUCAGCUUGUAGGUGUAGCAGAUAAUAUAUGUUUACUGUGAUUCAUAAAUAAAUUUGAACAAAUGAAGUAGAACUCAUAGUCAAGCUCCAGUACUAUACAGUGCAAAAGUAAAAAAUUCGCCACAACUUAUGACACAGACAUAAUUAUUUCAAGCAGACAAUUAUGACACAGACAAUAGUUAUAUAAAACAUUAGCCAUAGUGGUUCCAAGCAACGAAGCCAUCAUCAUCAUCACGUCACUUGCCAACAUAGUUCCUACCAGUUUUCUUAAUUAAACUGGAUCACAUGACAACAACCACAACUGACAUUUCACAUGGCUGCAGAUCCAGAUAAUUCCAACUGUUUUCCUACCAGCAAAAGCCUUACUACUCUCAACUAACCACCUACUGACAUUAGAGCAACAACUUGCAUUAACUUAUUUAUGCUACAGCAAAGGUCUUCCUACCAGACAGCAUGCCAAGGACUUCAUUUCUUUGGCUUGUACUUGGCCUUGAUCUUGUAGUACAAAUCAUCAAAGAUAAAGUCAAUGUCUUUCUUCGACUCCUUGCCAUACCUACGUGCAUUAUCAUCAACGCAUGCCUUUGCCUCGUCCUUAGCGCAUUUGAUCGCCCACUGCAGCAUGUCCAUGUUGUCGGGUGGGUGAUGCUCCAUACAGCCAGACAUGGAACCGCUAGUGUCUGUCAGCCACUCGUACGAAGACACAUCUUCCUCAACAAAGUCAAUCUGAAAAUUAGUAGAUAGUAGUUCGAAAGACAAUAACUUCACAUGAAUGAUGAAAUCAGCUGUUGAUCAACAAAACAAGCUGUAGUUCUUGGUUAGUAAUCAUGAGUUCAUCCUGAGCUAAGCAUUAAAACUCAAGUAGAUUAUGGAUGAGUGAGCAAAGUAUCCUUCUGACUAUAUGCCUGAACUUCAACUUCUAUGAUGUAGGGUUAGUGUCUUAGCGAGCCAGUGGUCACCAAACUAGCAGAGGAUUAUGACCACAUUAGCAAUUCAAAACCACAUAAUACCAUGGUACGUUGCACGGUCCACCAAAGGUGUCACACGUUGAAAAACUGACAAAGCUUCAAAGAGGCGUAACACAAGAUAUAAACAACACAUAAGAUAGAAUCUGCCACAUACAACAAUAGUAUACUAAAACAACUAUACCUAAAGAUCUAUGAUAUCUGGGAACAUGCCACAGAAUGAUGUACAUACAUAAAACAGCUAUAACUUAAGUUAUAGAACUCCAGUAGUUCAUCACUUGUUUCGCUAUUAAGGUUAACCAUGUAUUAGCAAUUCAUAGGUCAUGAAACACUUAUUAAUAUGUCUAUUUGAUAUUAAUCACAGUUAUCUACCACAUAUUAAACAUGACUUAGCUAAAACGUGUCACUAAAUAUUCAUGCAUUGAAAUAUUAACAUAACUUGCUCUGUACUAUAAUUAUUAAUAGCUCAUAUAAAUUUCAUGCAAGGUAGAGGAACAUUCUUUUCCAUUUUCACAUACAUGCAUGCUUUAUAGCCCUAAUAUUCCUUUUUAAUGAGCUGGGAGCAAGUUUAAUUAAUAACUCAAGAAAUAAUAUACCAAAAAUCACAAGAUAAAUCACAGAGCAUCUACAACACAUCAGGAAGCUAACACAAAAAUUGCACAUCGAUCAAAUGAAGCAUCACAUUUCAUGGAGGGAGGGAGGAGGAAGGGGGAUUUCCAUACCUUCUUCUUCUGCUUGGACGCUGACGCCCCCCCGUCGAUGGCCUUCUUGUAAGAGGCGGAUCCCUUCUUCAUGGAUGCAGACGUCGGCCCCCGUAAGGGGGUCCCUUCUUCUUCGACGUGGGCGUCGCCCCUUUGGUGGUCCUCUUGAAUGUGGCGGAUCCGCUCUUCUCAGUGCGUGCCGGUGCUCGCUCAACUUCCUUCUCCUUCCCGGCGGCGGCAGCGGCAGCGGACCUCUUCUCAGUGGCGGCCAGUGGGACCUCGGAGUCAGAGUCGGAGUCCACGAGGAUCAGAAACCUGGGCGGCGGCGGCGGCGGGCCUGCGUGCGUGGCGGCGAACUGGCCACGCUCGUUGCGGGCUUGCGUGCGCGCGUGCAAGCUGCGCUUGGUGCCAGCCAUGGCGGCGCACCUUCGUUGCCGCUUCGGAUUCGUCUUCACCUCGCAGCCGUCGCUCGGGUGGGGGAGGUGGGGGAUUGGGGAAUGACGAGGUGGGGGAUUGGGGGGUUGGGAGGCAGGGUGCCCACGGAGACCAGAAGUAUAUAGCGUAGUGGGCCGGCCCAUUUAACUACUUCCAAGCUAAUGUGUUUGAUGCCCUCAAGAAUAGCACCACCUCGUCAGUUUGGAGAUAUCAAACAUAGGUUAAAAGCUCAAGGGAGGCAGCCACUUCGAACUCCUUGUUACACAUGUUAUCUGAUACUGGUUUGGGCCUGCUUGGGCCUGUAAGCUUUGUUGGGCUCCCUUCUUCGGUUGAGCCUGAUGAGUCAACUGGCCCUAUGCAGGCCAACAUUUUUUCAUUUUUAAACAAAACACUAACACUUAUUCACUUUUUUUUACAAAAUUUUACUAGAAAUUUUUAAACAAAAUACUAACACAAUACACCAGUACUUUGAGUACGUUUAUAACUGAUUAACAUCAAUGAUACUACUAGCUAUAACUUACUGAUACUACUAGCUAUAAUUUAUCAGUACGAUUGACCACCACCAAAAGUACUAGCUAUUCAUUACUGAUUAAGUUCAGAUAACUUAGGAACACACUAGGUCCUGCCAGGCCAUACCAUUAACAUCCACAAGACUAUGUCCUACGCUCCUACCUUAUCAUAUAUUUACAAAAAAAAAAAUCUUACUUGUUUGAUACCUCUGGUUUUACAAUUUUUUUUACUCAAUGGUAAGUCUUGCUUGUUUGAUACCUCUGGUUUUACAAUUUUUUUAUACUCAAUGGUAAGUCUUGCUGUUCGUAGUUCAUACAUGAUACAUCAAUAAUAACAUACAUCACAUAGGGGUAUAUCUCUGCUAUUUGGGCCUCCAAGUUAUUUGGGUCGAUAGAAAUGAAUCCCAAGGCCAAAUAGCGGCGCUAAACUAACCUAAUUUAGCGAAAUUAGUGUGCUAUUAGCCGCUAAUAGCGGGAAUAAUCAUUUAGCGUUAAAAUCCCCAUAGCUUAGCAGUCCUCUUCCACAAACGCUAAAUGACGCUAUAGCGUCCGCUAUAGCGCGCUAUUUAGAACAGGGCUACUACUACUACUAUCACCACCACCACCACUACUACUACUAUCACUACUACAUACUAUAACGAGUAUCAUGGAGUAUCAUUACUACUACUACUACUACUACUACUACUAUCACUACUACUACUAUCUCUACCAUGCCGUAUGUGACAUCUUGUCCUAUCGAGUAUCAUGGAGUAUCAUGGCACAUCUACCUAACUUCAUAAUUACUCUUGUCCUAAAUCAAAUGUCAUGGCAUAUGGCACAAAGUACCACAUUAAGUUGUUGUAUAACUUUUGAUACUUGUCACACUCAUGAUCGAUCUUGAUCAAUAAAAUCAUGGUUAAACAUCUUACUACUAAGUAUUUAUGAAACUCAUAAAUAAGUUAUAUUUAGUUAUUUAUUUUGAAGAUAUAGCAGUUUGUUUAUAUUUUAAAUUUUUUAAAACAUUUUUUUAAUAAACUUUAAAAUUUAUUAAAACUUAAUUGAAAGGGCAGGGGCACCUAAGUGUGCUGUACCAAAAAUUUGGGCGCCAAUUUUUCAUGUCGCGUGCACAGUUUCAGCCGAGCGCGAAAAAUUCUCCGUGUCCCCUCCUGUCCCCGCCUCCCAGCGUGAUAGGGAAAUAAUUAACCUCCCAGCUAAUAUCUCUUUCCCAAAUCCUAAUUACUCCAGCACCCACUCCGACUGUAGGCAAAGCCAUGGUGCCGCCGCCGCCAUCCAGGACGCCAACGACGCCAACUCGGUCCAGGGCGUCCCCUACGUCGAAUCCAUCGUCGAGGCCACACCCGGCGACGCCUCCAGCCAGGAGAUCGCCUCCUCCUCAGGGCAUCAGCUCCCGAAACGACGACAACUCCUCUAGCGCUGGUCGAUAUAUUGAAGCCACCCUCGAAAUCGAAGACGACAAUGGAUUCACCACUUCAUAUACCCCUAGGUACAUUGUUUGUGUAAUCUAGUUUAUUAGAUUUGUGAUUUUUGCCCCACGGCAAUACUGGUGGAGCCCAGUGGAGUUAAUUAGUUGAAGUACAUGUGUUGAGAUCAAUGUUUUUCUUUAUGUAUCCAUCAAUUCAAGUUUUUCUGUUCAGAGGUUGCUUUGGAUAGUUUCACAUUUUUAGCCCACUAAAUUAAUCUGUAUAUGUUCAUGGCUGUGAGAAUUUUUUCUAGAUUGUGUUACUUUUUGAUCUAAUAAUCCAUGUUCUUCUGAUGAGUGAGCUACUCGCUUUGCUUACUUGAAAUUACCUGAUGGCUUGGUGAUGCUGUCUAUUUUGGGUGAUUGAUGAGUGAAAUCAUAAAAUUACCUCAGUAGUUGAUAUGUGUUGCAUCUGAUUACAAUUGUACUAUAUACUAUGUUUGUUUACGAAUUAUGCUUCUUCACACCUUCACCACUUGUGUUCCUUUGCUUAGGCACUGUUUGGUCAAUUAGAGGAAUUACCGUGCUCCGUCUUUCUGUUUGUGCAUUAGCAAUAGUAUCUUUUAUUACACGCCUCCUAGAUUUCAGUCACCUGGACAAUUCAGGCAACUUCAGUUAGGUGUGGUGGGAUUUUUUCUGGUGAGAUACUGUCAAUCCAUAGAUGAGAAAGCCAUGGGAAACAGGCCAGACCAGCAGAGGUGGCUGCCUAAUAUUGCUAAUGAAAUCUUAUCAUACCAGUUUCAGCUUCAAAUGAAAUCUUUCUUGUUUAGUUGCUACUGCAAUUUGCCUGGCUUAAAAUUUAAUUGUUUACUAUAUACAUGUGUAUUUACUUAUCAACCUUUAUCCUAUCAGUGCAGUGGUACAGGUAAAUUAUGGACUAUUUAUGUUCAUUGCAAGAAUGGACUUCCAGAUCAGGAGUAUGUAAUGUUCAAAGUAGAAAGGGCUGCUAUAAAAUUGUCAGUCUUGACAUCUAUGAAGGAUCAACUUGGAUACGCUGCUCGGGACUUUUUGUAUUACAAGAAGCGUUGUGGAACAGAUGUAGCUAGUCUUGAGCCUAUCGAUUAUAUCAAACAUGCAGAGAUGAGCCAUCAAAAUUGGUGAGAUUGGCUUACAACCUGAUAGACAAGCACUUUCAGCAGCUGAGGAGAACAUGAUUUUCCAGUCAACCUACAAAGAAACCACACAAAUCAAAUCAUCCAAAAUACAUGGGAAUGGUUAUAUGGCUAAGUACCGAACUCGCAAAGAACUUAUGCAAGAAAACCUUGAAGUACAUGCACGUGUUGAAGCUGCAGCCAGAGAGAGGAACAUUGCUUUUGAAGCAGAGGUUCAACAGCUGAAAGAACAGAUUGCAAAUGAAGCCGCUGAAAGGGAAAGGGAGAGAGAAGAAAAUAGGAGAAAGAUGCAAGAGGAUCUGGAAAAUGCUAAGGAAAUAAUGAGAGAACAAAUGAAGCAAGAGUUGCUUAAUAUGCUAGCGCAGCACAAAGAAGGAACUUUGAAUAUGGUAAUAUUUUUAUAUUUCCUUUUAAUCCUAUGUGCUGUUAAUAAACUUUUGAUGAUGAUGAUGAUGCCUAAUCUAUUAGGUCAACUUUUUUGUGUGCAGAGUGCCGUCCAAAAUAAUGACAGCACACAAAUUACACCUACAAUAGAAGAGGAACAUGAUAAUGCUGAACAUGGAAAUGAUGGCACACAAAUUGAUAGUUUGAUUCCACAAGUAAUGCCCAUUCCUACACUAAGUUCUAAAUGAUAUUGAGUUAUUUACCUUGAACUGUAGCUAAAAUUGAUCAAACGAUUUAUUUUUUGAAGUGUGAGCCUGCAAGCGUUGUCACCAUACAAAAAGCCGCAUCUACUCGUUCUGGGGUCAACAAAAAUGCUACUGGAGUCAGCAAAAAUCUUUUUAGCGAAAAAACUACAAAUGGACAAUCACAGAAGACUUAUAUCACUCAGCAACAGCUGAUGAGUAGAACAAGAAAUGGCAAAAAGAAUAAGCAGGUAAUCUAAAUUCCUGUUUUGUUGUGUUCUUGAAUACAGAGUGCACCAAUUUGGAGUUUAGUGACACAUCAAAUGUGAUUAAUCUUGUAUAUACAAGAUGUAUGGGUACAUUUACCAUAUGUGAUGAGACCAGCAGCUGGUGUAUAGAUACAACAUGUCAGGUUUUGACCUUGCUGUGCAAAUUAGAUGUUAUUUCUGAUGUUUGACAUUGAGAACUAAAGAAUUUAUUAUUUGUACUGCUGCUGUUGUAUAGCGGCUUAUUAUUUUUUGAAUGCACAAGCUUAUUAUUGACCAGCACCUUAUUAUUUUUUGAAUGCACUGUACUGCUGCUGUUGCAUAGCAAAAACUGUGGUAACUAAAAAUUAGUGGAGUCAUUUAGAGAAUGGCUACAGUUUUGCACAAGCAUUUUCUCUUUGUUAGUUUGACUUGGGAAGGGCCUCAACCUAGAGAAAGGCCUAAGCUUAAUUAAAGUGACAACAAUGUUUCCAUUAUUUUUAUAUUAAGUUUACCUUUGCUCAAGUACAACCAUGUCAUAUUUCAAUCUCUUUACAUUUUCUGAAUGAUGUAGUAAACUUACUAUUUUACUAAUAUCCUUUUGUUACUCUUUUCACAGUAAGUGGACAAGGUUUCAGUUGGACGCUCAUAAUCAAACAAGGUCAUAGCCUAGGAGAGGACAAGCUGCUCAUCAAGCAAAGUAUCGACAAUUUCAUAGAUUAUAGGAAGUUGCAUUUUUAAAAUAGUUGUGAGACAAUGAGUGAACUGAUAGUACUGUUGUUUGGGAUGAUUUAUUCCAUGUAAACUCGCUUAUGGUUUGUCAAUAUAUUGAAUGAUUUAUUAUAAUUGAUAUAUACAAGUGCAAUCACUUUUGAUUGGGAUGUUGAACCAACUUAGUAGAUGCUAGUACUGUUGCAAUAAAAAAUGUAUCCACGAGCUAUGAUGCUAGGCUAUAUGACAUAUGGCAACAAAUUAAUUGCAUUACAAAAGGCUCUAUCGCCACGACAUUACCAAUGUUGCAAUAACAUUUGAUAUAUCGCAACAACUAAAAUUAAGUUGCAAAUAAAAAUAUUGCCACAUCAAAACAAUCGUGGCAUUAUCAUAUCAACUUUUGCAACGACUAAAAAAGCAUAGCAAAAGUUAGUAUUGCUACGAAACAGUGACUGUAGCCACAUCUUACUCUUACAACAAAAAGUAACGUUCAUAGCAAAUUAGGUACUUGCCAUGCUAAGACUUGCGUGGCAAAUUAUGUACUUGCCACGUCAUGCCGUUCGUUGCAAAUUAUGUACUCGCCACGAUACGACUUUCGGGGCAAAUUAUGUACUUGCCACGUUAUGGCGUUCGUGGCAAAUUAUGUACUUGCCACGACAUCGCGAUCGCGUGGCAAGUACACUAUACGCAACAAAACUGUAACGUAGCAAAACUAUCAUAUUGCUACGCUAAUAAUCAUUGCAUGUACGACCUGUUGCUACCAUGAAACCCAUGGCAAGUGCUCCAAUUGCCACGCCCGUGAACGUUGCGUCAAAAUCCUAUUGCCAUGCUUGGCAACGAAAUUGUAAUGUCGCAAAACUAUCAUAUUGCUACGCUAAUGAUCGCUGCAUGUAAGACCUGUUGCUACCACGAAACCCAUGGCAAGUGCUCCAAUUGCCACGCCCGUGAACGUUGCGUCAAAAUCCUAUUGCCAUGCUUGGCAACGGAUUGCAAUGGUUGCAACAAUUCUAUGCACUUGCAACGUCAAACUAGAUAUUGUGGCAAUACCUUAUUGCCACGUGACAUCUUGCAACCCUUGGCAACUUACGAGAUUUCGUGGCCCAAACUACUGCUUGCAACAAAAUUGGGCAUAUCGCAACGGUUUUUGGUCAUUGCAUAAGAGGUAGAAUUUAGUAGUGAAGGGGCAAGUGCCCGGAACCUCGAAAGAAAAGAAAAAGUGAGACGAGAGGUAAAAAUGGACAAGUGUCCGACAGUAGAAUUAGGGGUACAAGAUACCCACCUGAGAGAAAAGAAAAAGAAACAUAGAGCAUCUCAUUCUCCUCAAAAGUUUCAAAAGAGCAGGAAAGGUAUGUAUCCCCUCAAAAGAGCACCAGUAGAAUUAGACUUUCACCAUUGUUAUCACCAUCAUCACCAUACACCAUUCAUUCGCCACACAUGCACAUCUUGAUUUGACUUAUUGACUUGUUUCUCUGGAUCCAUGGUUUGACUAUACAAUAAAUGUCUUGUAAGUAUAUAUACUUUAUCUCCCACCUAUGAGCUCUAGAUAUCAAAAGCCUUAUUAGAGUAGGAUGUGAGAGAAGGCAAUGUCACUAUGCCUUAUACUGCAAAUACUACAUACUUUGAGAGAAGGCAUACACCAUUACUGCCUUGGUAAGGAUCCAGAAACACCACAAAAGAGAGAUCUGAGAGAGUAAUACAAGGAAUCUCUGAGUUUUAUUUGAAAAUCUACAAAAGCUCCAGAGCUAUAGCUGAUCAAGAAUAAGAGACAUGGCGCUUGACUAGACCGUUCUAACUUUUAACUGCUCAAGACAGAAGUGAUGGAUACAAGUCCCGUGGUAAAAGGUAAAAUGAAUAAGUUUUAAGUCUUGACAGUUUACUCUAACUCAGAGAUGAGACCUUAUUUGAAAGCAUGUGCACCGUCAACUUUUAAAGGCAUUACAACAACUUCUGAUCCAUCACUGAGAUUAUGCUUGCUCAGGGACGAGCAAGAGGUAAGCUUGGGGGAGUUUGUUGACGGUCCUUAAGUAUCAAAUAUAAUCAACAAAUAAACAAAGAAAAGGAUCCAAAUGCAACCGACAUCCAGACAUAGGGUUUUAUCUCACAGAAUUCCACGAGUUUUGGUGUUUGUCUAUUUCUGCAGGGGGUUAUCUGGAAUUAUGGAAGAAAGACCCACAUGUCAGGUUUACAUAGAGAUAUUAACAUGCCGCGCAAUUAUCUAACAUCUAGAAGAGUCCAGAAGCCACAGGAAUGAACGGGAGGCCGAUCGGGGCCGAUAGCAGGGUGCCCGCCCUCCCUCCUUGGGCGCCCGCCCUGGUCUGAGGGCCAAUCAGCUUCAACCUCGCGGAUCAUGCUCCACCGACCUAAGGGAUCAAGAAAAACCAUGCGAUUAAUGUCAGUUUGAUCCGACGACCCACAUUCAUUUGGAAGGACUAUAUAAGCAGACCCCCUGGCACAUGGAGGAGAGGACCUCUGAACCCUAUUUCAUUAUCCAUCUCGGGAGAAGAAGCCUCUGAUCAAGCCCUAGAGCCACCACAUCAAUAGAUCUCUAGUUUAGCAUAGCUACAUAGGAUUAGAACUAGAAGGAGUCAAUCUUCGAUUGGUUUCCAGAUCUGUCAAGAGGAUUCUUGGUAAUUCCUCUACUGUUCUUCAAUUGUUCAUCAUUGUUCUUCAAUAUUGUGGAUAUGACUUUGUUCUACUUCAACAUAUUGAUUAUGACUUUGCUCUACUUGUUUAUAUUUGCAAUUAUAUUGUUCUUAGUUUAUCAUAGUUCUAUGCUUGGCUUAGUUAGAUUGGAAUUAUAUACAUGUUUAGGAUCGUAUAGCGUUUAUCUAUGUGUACAGUGGGUAAAUGAUAAGUAUUAUGUAGGCGUGGUGCCUAUACCGUAUUUAUCUGCGAUUGUACCCUAUAUGCCAUAUCGUGGGGUACUUCAUGGUAGUGACAGCUCCAUCGAUUCUUAUAUAGUUCCCCUCUCGUGUAUAGGGCUGGCAGAGCAACAUUAUUACAGGGUUGUGAUUGCUAUGUUUCUCAUCUUCCUUGAUAAUAUCACUAUGCAUGGGCGCAGUCCUGUCUUGCAAUGAUUGCCAAGUAUAAUUGCACUAACUAUGAUAUGCUAGACUUUAUAGUUAAGAAUAACUUAGGAAAUAUUCUUGUAGUUCAUCCUAAUUCAAUGCUAAUGACUUGCUACAAUAUCUAUUGAGGUGCUUAUCAUAUUUAUAUGUGGCUAAGUUAUGCUGAUCAGAUUAAUUAUCUUUGUCACCAUUCAUACUUUAUCUAUCUUUUAUGUGACAUUUAUCCCUGUAUGAAAGAGAUAGAUAAAUGCUCUCAAUUAUACAUGUAAUGAUAGAUACUCAAUUCUAUAUUCCAUUCCAUAAUCAACAGUGAUGUUUAGCAAUCCCUUCCCAGUGGUAAAAAUAUAAAUAACGAUACCUGGAAUACAUCCCGGUUAAAAUGCUACAUCGGUAUUAAUCUGUAUGCUUGCAGAUCUCAUUUAUUAUUUAUUUAGAAGAGCAAUUGAAUAUUUCAAUACCGCGUCUCUCAUGUCAUGUUGGGGAUGACAACUUGGCUUAAGUGGCAUGAGGGAUAGGUUUGGCAUUUUUGGUGCCGUUAUCAGAAUUAGAAAACUAAGUCUACUUUUGGUAGUGACGUUAAGAAUGCCCAACAACGCUCUAGACAUGCUUUACUUAUUGAACAUCACGCUUUUGUGUCUCUUGAAAAUGAACCAAAGACUAUAGAGGAAGCUCUUCAUGAUGCGGAUUGGAUCAUUGCCAUGCAAGAGGAGUUGAACAACUUCUCUCGCAACCAAGUGUGGACACUUGAAGAGCGACCCAAAGAUGCAAGAGUGAUUGGAACCAAGUGGGUCUUCCGAAACAAGAAGGAUGAUCAAGGCAAAGUGGUGCACAACAAGGCAAGGCUCGUGGCAAAAGGCUUUUCACAAGUGGAAGGUCUUGACUUCGGUGAAACCUUUACACCGGUGGCAAGACUUGAAGCAAUCCGUAUCCUACUUGCAUAUGCAUCUAGUCAUGAUAUCAAGUUGUUUCAAAUGGAUGUGAAAAGUGCUUUUUUGAAUGGUUAUAUUAAUGAGCUUGUCUAUGUUGAGCAACCCCCCGGUUUUAAAGACCCUAGGUACCCCAAGCAUGUCUACCGGUUGUCCAAGGCUCUCUAUGGUCUCAAGCAAGCUCCUAGAGCUUGGUAUGAGAGGCUUAGGGACUUCCUCAUUGAGAAGGGCUUCAAGAUUGGGAAAGUUGACAUAACACUCUUCACCAAGAAAAUGAAUGGGGAAAUCUUCAUUUGCCAAGUUUAUGUUGAUGAUAUUAUUUUUGGCUCAACUAAUGAAGAUUUUUGCAAGGAAUUUGGUGAUUUGAUGUCCAAGGAGUUUGAGAUGUCCAUGAUUGGCGAGCUAUCCUUCUUCCUAGGAUUUCAAGUUAGGCAAAUGAAGGAAGGGGUCUUCAUCUCUCAAGAGAAGUACACACAAGAUCUUCUCAAGAGGUUCAAGAUGAUGGAUUGCAAGCCAAUCAAGACUCCCAUGGCAUCAAAUGGGCAUCUCGACUUGGAUGAGGGAGGUAACCCAAUUGACAAGACUCUCUAUCGUUCCAUGAUUGGAAGUCUACUCUACCUCAUCGCAUCUAGGCCUGAUAUCAUGUUUAGUGUGUGUAUGUGUGCUAGGUAUCAAGCAUUGCCUAUGGAAUCUCACUUGAUUGCCGUCAAGAGAAUUCUUAGGUACCUAAAAUACACACUUGCCUUGGCUUGUGGUAUCCCAAAGGUGCAAGAUUCCAACUUGUAGGCUAUUUCGAUUCGGAUUAUGCCGGGUGCUGGAUUGAUAGAAAAAGCACAUCCGGAGGGUGCCAUUUCCUAGGUAGAUCUCUUGUCUCUUGGAUGUCAAAGAAACAAAACAGUGUUGCCUUGUCAACGGCCGAGGCGGAAUACAUUGCCGCCGGUGCUUGUUGUGCACAAAUACUCUACAUGAAACAAACUUUCCUAGACUAUGGAGUAGUACUAGACAAAGUACCUUUGUUGCGUGACAACGAAAGUGCCGUAAAACUUGCUAACAACCCGGUUCAACACACCCGCACAAAACACAUUGACAUCCGCCACCACUUCCUUAGGGAUCAUGUUGCUAAAGGUGAUAUAUCUGUAGAGAAUGUGGGUACGGAAAAUCAAUUGGCGGAUAUCUUCACAAACCCCUAGAUGAAGCUAGGUUUUGUUUGUUGAGAAAUAGACUUAAUGUGCUUGAUCUUUCUAACUUCAUAAAAAAAUGAAGUUGUGUGUUGACUUUGUAAAUAGCUUUUGUUUUGCAUGUCAUGCAUACCAAAACUAAAAUACAAAAAGAAUUGUGUGUAGGGUUUGUGUAACAUGGUUAAGAUAACCCCCUUGUGUGUGUGAAAAAGCUUAACCUUGGAUCAAACUUCACAAGCAUUAGUUUACUUUCAAGUAUUGCAUUUCACCUCAUAUCAUAUGCAUGCUUGUGAGUUGGCCGUUUAUUUUUGGUUAUGUCUUGAGCAUCCGUUGUGUUCGUCCAUAGAUAGGGGGAGCAUUCAAAGCUCAUUAUGAUUUAAACCCCUAGCUUUAUGGCCACACGAUGCUCCUUGGUGCUUUCACUUGACUAUUUUCAUAAAAACUACUAUGCCUAAGGCUAAAUAUUUGUGAAAACUUGAGGGUUUGAGAGAGGUCACUCAUACCAGUUCCAAUUGGUGCUUAUUUGAGUCUUCUUAAAGUUGGAAUUUGGUUGGGUAAAAGUCGGAUGAAGUUUGAAGUUGAAAAAGGACUCAGAGGUGCACUAGACGAUGCACCAGACUCUCCUGCAGAGCGUCCGGUGCAGUGAGUCUGCUCGACAAUACUCACCGGACCAAGGAACAGUAUCCCUGCAGCGUCCGGUGAGAUGCGUCCGGUGCUCAGCCAGGCAUGCCUGAGGGCACUGGACGCUAAAGCCAGCGUCCGGUGGCCAUCGUCCAGAGCUCGGCUGAAUGAAAACACUCUCUAUGUUUUAGUCCGGUGCCACAUAAUGAGCGUCCGGUGACCCCGCAGCGGGCGCAUAUAACCUGUGCUCAGGGGCUUUUCGCACAGACGGUUUCUUCUCCCCGCGAACAGACCAGCUGUGCCCGAGCCCUAGACCGAGCCACCGAUCCGCCGCCACCAUUUUCUUCGAGUUUUUCCCCGGUGAAAUCCCAUCUUCCCCGCGUAGACCCAAACAGUUUCCUCUUCCCUCUCCUCACGCAAGGAUCCCUUCCUUGCGAGGUGUUUAGGGUUUGGGGUAAGUUCUUUGAUCUGCGCCCUCAAGGUGUUUGAUUUAAUGUGUGAAUGAAUUAAAUUGNNNNNNNNNNNNNNNNNNNNNNNNNNNNNNNNNNNNNNNNNNNNNNNNNNNNNNNNNNNNNNNNNNNNNNNNNNNNNNNNNNNNNNNNNNNNNNNNNNNNGAAAGGCCCACACGUCGGGAUACCAUAGAGAUAUUAACGUCCCACACAAUUAUCUUACAUCUAGAAGACUCCAGAAGCCACGAGACCGAAACGGAGGCGAAACGGGGCCAGAGGCAGGGCGCCCGCCCUCCUGCCCUAGGCGCCUGCCCUCCUGCCCUAGGCGCCCGCCCCCUCUGAGAGUCCAAUCAGGAAUCUGCUUCGUGGGAGAUCUCCACGGACCUAAAGGAUCAAGGAUAACCGUUCAAUCUAAGUCGGUUUGAUCCAACGGUCCAUAUUCACUUGAAGGGACUAUAAAACCAGACCCCCUGGCCCCUGGAGGAGAGAGCCUCUCAACCCUAAUUCAUUGUUCCUCAAGGGAGAAGAAGCCUCUGAUCAAGAUUAGAGCCACCACAUCAAUUAGAUAUCUAGAUUAGCAUAGCUAGAUAGGAUUAGAACUAGAAGGAGUCAAUCUUCGAUUGGUUUCCGGAUCUGUCAGGAGGAUUCUUGGUAAUUCUCUAAUUGUGCUUCUAAUUGCUUUCUAGUUAUCUUUGUUCUUCAAUAUUAUGAAUAUGACUUUGUUCUAUUUCAAUAUAUUGCUUAUGACUUUGCUCUACUUGCUUAUAUUCAAGAUUAUAUUGUUCUUAGUUUAUCAUAGUUAUGUACUUGGCUUAGUUAGAUUGGAUCUAUAUACAUGCUUAGGAUCGUAUAGCGUUUAUCCAUCGGAUCCAUGGGUAAAUGAUAGAUAUUGUGUAGGCGUGGUGCUUAUACCGUAUUUAUCUGCGAUUGUACCCAAUAUGCCAGAUCGUGGGGUAGUUCGUGAUAGUGACAGCUUCAUUGAUUCUUAUAUAGUCCCCCUCUCGUGUAUUGGGCUGGUAGAGCAACAUUAUUACAGGAGAGUGAUUGCUAUGUUUCUAAUUUACCUUGCUAAUAUCACUAUGCAUGGGCGUAGUCUUGUCUCGCAAUGAUUGCUAUGUAUGCUUGCACUAAUUAUGAUAAUGCUAGACUAUAUAGUUGAGAAUAACUUAGGAAAUAUUCUUGUAGUUCGUUCUAAUACCAUGCUAAUGACUUUCUAGAGUAUCUAAUUGAGGUGCUUAUCAUAUUUAUUAUGUGGCUAGAUCAGAUUAAUUAUCUUUGUCACUAUUCAUUAUUUCAUAUAUCUUUUAUGUGACAUUUAUCCCUGUAUGAAAGAGUUAGAUAAAUGUUCUCAAUUAUACAUGCAAUGAUAGAUACUCAAUCUCAUAUUCUAUUCUGUAAUCAAUAUUGAUGAUUGCUAAUCCCUUCCUAGUGGUAAAAAUAUAAAUAACGAUACCUGGAAUACUUCCCGGUUAAAAUGCUACAUCGGUAUUAAUCUGUGCGCUUACAGAUCCCAUUCAUUAUUUCUUUAGAAGAGCAAUUGCAUAUUUCAAUACCGCGUCUCUUAUAUCAUGCUGGGGAUGACAACUUGGCUUAAGUGGUGUGAGGGAUAGGUUUGGCAUUUUUGGCACCGUUACUAGAUUUAGAGAACUUAGUCUACUUUUGGUAAUGAUGUUAAGAAUACCCAACACGGCCAUUAUGUUGACGCCCGAUCCAGUGUCGCAAAACGUCUUGUAGAAGUUGUAUCCAUUUAUGGAGCAGUAGAUGCUUGGCAUUCCUGGGUCGUCCUUCUUGGUCAAAAAUGGUGACUUAAGUUGGUGAUCUUGUUCUCCAUGAACUACAGUGACCAUCUUAGCUGACUCGGUCCACACUUGCUUGUUCCUAUUCCUCUGGUUGGUCCUCUUCCUUGAUUCACAUCUGGAUUGAUCUGGGAUUUGUGUAGUCUUGUUCUUGAAGAAAAAUGUUUCCUUCCUCCCUUUGAUGUAGAAACUGAUCUUGGCAGCUCUAGCGUAGAUGAUAGCUCCCGAGCUGUUCAAGAAUGGCCUCCCUAGGAUGAUAGGUGCUCUCUCAUCAUUUCCGGUCUCUACCACUACGAAGUCUGCUGGGGCAUACAAGGUACCAACUCGGACACAAAGGUUCUUCACUAUUCCUUUUGGAAAACUUAUCGUCUGAUCUGCAAACUGCAAACACAUGGUUGUCUCUAAUAAAGGAUAUGUAAAGAAUUUCUCAUAGAGUACCCUGGGUAUAAUGUUGACGCUGGAGCCAAAGUCGCAGAGUGCUUCUGGGACGUCCACCAUGCCGAUGGAGAUCGAGAUGACAGGGCAUCCUGGAUCGCCUAUCUUGACCGGCAGAAGGUCAAUAGUGAAUUCUGUGAUGGGGUUACUCCAAUUACCUGCAUCAAACAUGUCUACAAGAUUUGCAGAUUCUAAUCCUUCCGGUUGUGAUGGUAUACCGGAAGAGCAAUUGCAGAUUCUAAUGAAUUAGGGUAGAGAGGCUCUCUCCUCCAGGGGCCAGGAGGUCUGGUUUUAUAGACCCUUCAAGUGAAUAUGGGCCAUUGGAUCAAACCGACAUUGAUUGAACGGUUAUCCUUGAUCCUUUAGGUCGGUGGAGAUCUCCCACGAAGCAGAGUCCUGAUUAGACUCUCAGAGGGGGCGGGCGCCCAGGGCAGGAGGGCGGGCGCCCUGCCUCUGGCCCCGUUUCGCCUCCGCUUCGGUCUCGUCUCUUUUGGAGUCUUCUAGAUGUAAGAUAAUUGUGUGGCACGUUAAUAUCUCUAUGUAAUCCCGACGUGUGGGCCUUUCUUCCGUAUUUCCUGAUAACCCCCUGCAGAAAUAGACAAACACCAAAACUCGUGGAAUUCUGUCAAAUAAAACCCUAAGUCUAGAUGUUGAUUUCAUUUGGAUCCUUUUCUUUAUUUAUUUGAUAAUUAAAUUUGAUACUUAAGGACCGUCAACAAAUUCCCCCAAGCUUACCUCUUGCUCAUCCCUGAGCAAGGAUAGACUCAGCUAUGGAUCAUAAGUUGUUGCAAUAUCUUUAAAAAUUGACGGUACCCAUGCUUUUUUAAAUAAGAUCUCAUCUCUGAGUUAGAGUAAACUGUCAAGACUUAAAACUUACUUACUUUACCUUCACCAUGGGACUUGUAACCGUCACUUCUAUCUUGAGUAGUUAAAAGAUAGAACAGUCUAGUCAAGUGCCAUGUCUCUUAUUCUUGAUCAGCUAUAGCUCUAGAGUUUUUGCAGAUUUUCAAAUAAAACUCAGAGAUUCCUUGUAUGACUCUCUCAAAUCUCUCUUUUGUGGUAUUUCUAGAUCCUUACCAAGGCAGUGAUGGUAUAUGCCUUCUCUCAAAAUAUGUAGUAUUUGUGGUAUGAAGCAUAGUGACAUUGCCUCCUCUCUCACCCUACUUUAAUAAGGCUUGAUAUCUGGAGCUCAUAGAUGGGAGAUAAAAUAUACAUACUUACAAGACAUUUAUUGUAUAGUCAAACCAUGGAUCCAAAGAAACAAAUCAAUAAGUCAAAUCAAGAUGUGCAUGUGUGGCGAAUGAAUGGUGUAUGGUGGUAAUGGUGAUAAUAAUGGUGGAAGUCUAAUUCUACUUUUGCUCUUUUGAGGGGAUAUAUACCUUUCUUGCUUUUUGAAACUUUAUGAGAAGAAUGAGAUGCUCUUCUUUUUUUCUUUUCUCUCAGGUGGGUAUCUUGUACCUCUAAUUCUACUGUCGGACGCUUGUCCAUUUUUACCUCUCGUAUCACUUUUUCUUUUCUUCGAGGUUCCGGGCACUUGCCCCCUUUUUAUUUCCUCGUAUCUCUUUUUUUAGAGCACUCAUCUCUUGAGAUAAUAUAGCAAGUGGUAGUAAAAAGAUAACUUGAGCAUUUAUUUCACAAGGGAAAACAGAAAUGUUUUUGGUCAUUCUCUCCCGGAUUAGGAGUAGAAUAUUUUUGGGUGAUUCUGGAGAUGGAAAUGGGUGGAUAUAUGUGGAUGGUACUUCCGGAGUAGAAGUAGCAUAUAUGAGUGAACGUGCAAGUCAAUCUUGAUUUAACCACAUGAUAAGCUCCUAAGGGUCUACACAGCUUGUCCACACUCAAUGCUCAUAAGCAGUAAAUAAUAAAUGUGUGGCUCAAAGUCUAGCAAGCAUGUAUAUAUGGCUGUGGUAGGAAUUUAAACUCUCAUCAUACAGGAACUCAUCAUGCAAUAUUUUAAAGAUUUUCAAAGAUAAAAUUCUCCAGAAUUCUAGCAUCUCUAGGAACAGAUAAACAGCAGCUCAACCUUCCCAUAUCGUAUCCGUUAACAACUUAGAUUUCAGAUCAAGUUUUCAUCCCACACGUUUAGGUCUAGAGCAAGCUUUAAAUCAUAACAGUUAUAUCUAAACUUGAGAGAGAACUUAAAAUGUGCAAAUUAGGCAGAGCAACUAUUCAUCAUAUCCAUGCUUGAGUUUUAUUUAGAUACAGAUUAGCAUAGCCACUUUAUUUAUUUAUUAAACACACUAAGCAAAAGAUAUAUAUAUAAGCAUAAAAUCUUUAUUUGGUUUUUCAUAGUUAUGUAUAUUUAAAUUCUAAAAUAAUAUAAGUAUAAAGAUAGAUAGAUAGAUAGAAAUACUUAUCGAGAUAAAUGGGGGUGCUCUCCUCCAAGCUGAAUUUUGACGUAAUUUCUCCUGAUGUAGCUAGCAGGUGGCAGAAGUGUAUUUGAAAGUCAGCAGCAUUCUGAUAGCGAUUAGAAUGUCCUCCGUCUACUAGUCUUCUUGAUUCUUAAAUUCUGUGGAGCUCAAAUAGACAACAAAGCUUGUGGAACUGAUUAAGUGUUAGCAUAAAUAUAUAGCCUUUAUCAUGUUAAGACUCCUUAAUAAUUAUUACUCCCUAUUUUUAUAUUUUUGUUUUAUAAAGCAGAAAAGAAAUUUUUAUUUUAUUUUUAUGCCACCACAGUGAGUGUACUUAUGGAUUUUAUGCCACUCGUAUACUCACAUGGGGCUUACUGUUUUGCAUAUUUUUAUUUUAUUUUUAAGAUAGUAUGAACAUAAUUAACUAAGUAAACUAGUUGAAAUAAUUGAAAGAGAAAGGAUAACUACCAAGUUUACCUCUUGGCAAGGCGUUCGGUGUUUUUAAGUCCUCCGAACAGGACUCUCCUCUUUCUCAAUUGUCCUAGGAUUCGUUGGGUGGCGGAGUCGGUACUUUCGGCGGCGCCUCCUCUUCAUGUAUAGUUAUCUUCUCUUUCCAUACCUGACUCAGUGCUUCAGUCUCCUCUAGAUAAUUCUCUUUAAACUCUACGUCUUCUGACCUUAUCACUUCUCCUUCAUAGUCUGCCCAUCCGUCCUUGAUGAUUUGCCUCCUCUGGUUGCGGUUGCGUCGUUUCCUGACCUGCUUAGAUUCUUCAACGAUAUAGUCAGGGUCAGUAAAAUAACGACGUACCAUCUCUGAGGGGAAGUGCAUAUGGACUUCUCCGGUUCCAAUGUAGAUAAUUGCUUUAACGGUGCUGAGGAAUGGUCUUCCAAGGAUGAUGGGUGGAUCGUAUUCGUCUUCUCCCAUGUCAAUAACUUGAAAGUCUGUGUAGACAAAAUGAUCGUCUAUUUUGACUGGGACAUCAGUUACUGUUCCUUUAACUUCUCAAAAUGUCUGAUCUACCAUCUGGAGCUGAAUGUAUGUUGGUUUCAGGGGCAUGGUUCCCAACAAGAGCCGAUAGGUGACUGCGGCCAUUAUGUUGACGCCCGAUCCGGUGUCGCAAGUUGUCUUGUAGAAGUUGUAUCCAUUUAUGGAGCAAUAGAUGCUUGGCAUUCCUGGGUCGUCCUUCUUGGUCAAAAACGGUGACUUAAGUUGGUGAUCUUGGCCUCCAUGAACUACAGUGACCAUCUUAGCUGACUCGGUCCAUACUUGCUUGUUCCUAUUCCUCCUGUUGGUCCUCUUCCUUGAUUCACGUUUGGAUUGAUCUGGAAUUUGUGUAGUCUUGUUCUUGAAGAAAAAUGUUUCCUUCCUCCCUUUGAUGUAGAAAGUGAUCUUGGCAGCACUAGCGUAGAUGAUAGCUCUCAUGGUGUUCAAGAAUGGCCUCCCUAAGAUGAUGGUUGCUCUCUCAUCGUUACCGGUCUCUACCACUAUGAAGUCUGCUGGGGCAUACAAGGUACCAACUCGGAUGCAAAGGUUCUUCACUAUUCCUUUUGGAAAAGUUAUCGUCUAAUCUGCAAACUUCAAACACAUGGUUGUCUCUAAUAAAGGUACCCUGGGUAUAAUAUUGACACUAGAGCCAAAGUCACAUAGUGCUUCUGGGAUGUCCACCAUGCCGAUGGAGAUUGGGAUGACGGGGCGUCCUGGAUCACCUCUCUUGACCGGCAGAAGGUCAGUAGAGAAUUCAGUGACGGGGUUACUCCAAUUACCUGCAUCAAACAUGUCUACAAGAUUUGCAUAUUCUAAUCCUUCCGGUUGUGAUGGUAUACCGGGGUUAGUAGUAGGAACAGCAGCAACUAUUUGAUUUAACUGAGAUUCAAUCAUUUUAUUAAAGCUAAUUUGAUUCUUGAUGGCAGUAGAGAAAUUAUCCAUUCUAUUAUUUAUAUUUUCUAGCAUUUUAUCAUUAGAUGCCAAUUUCUUAAAUAGGUUAUCCAUUAGAUUUUCUUGAUUAGACACUAACUCUCUCAAAGGUGGAAAAUUAUUACUAUUGUUGUAAGAAAUGUUACCUUGAUAAUUACUUGAGUAGUUAGGCCUCUGUUGAUUCCAACCUUGAUUUUGUUGAGGACGGUUGUAGUAGUAGUAGUAGUAGUUGUUGUUGUUGAUGUAGUUCACAUCCUCAAGCAUCUCAGGGCAGUGAUUGCCUGAGUGUCCAGUAUCUCCACACUCCUCGCAAGUCAUGUGAGAGUCGUAGAUGUGCAUAACUUCUUUCUUGUCUCCAGCUCUAUCAUCGAGCUUCUUCAUGAGCAGGUCUAGCUUUGCAGACAACAUGUCUACCUCCUUCAGCUGAUGCAUACCUCCACCUCUCUUGCGUGUCUGGGUCCUCUCUUCAUUCCAGCUUUGAUUGGACGCCAUCUUCUCCACAAGAGCUGUGGCUUGUGAUAUAGUAAGUGAUAAGAAUGCUCCUCCAGCUGCAGCAUCCAUGGUCUCUCGGGCACUGUUGCCGAGCCCAUGAUAAAAUGUCUGCAUCAGUAGCCAACUCUCCAUUCCAUGAUGGGGACAUUGUAGGAUGUAGUCUUGAAAGCGCUCCCAUGCUUCUGGAAUAGAUUCAUCAUUUUGUUGCUGAAAACUUGUAAUCUUCCCACGGAGAGCAUUGGUCUUGCCCAUGGGAAAGAACUUAGCCAGGAAGUUUGUUGAGCAGAGUGCCCACGUAGUAUUCUUCUCCUUUGUAGCGUAGAACCAUUGCUUCGCUCUCCCUAACAGUGAGAAUGGGAAGAGGCGAAGUAGUAUAGCAUCUUUGGAAACUCCUGCUAUGGUGAAUGUGUUGCAAAUCUCCAGGAAGUGUUGUAGAUGAGCACUAGCAUAUUCGUGUGCCUUCCCACAGAACUGGUUGGAUUGCGCCAUGUUGAUAAGUCCAGGCUUGAGCUCAAAGUUGUCGUCGAUCUCUGCAGCAGGUCCAGUGCGGAUGUUGUCCGUAGUGGGAGCUGAGAAUUCACGGAUUGAUUUGUUCGCCAUGGCCUCGAACUCUGAAGACAAGUUCCAGUGAUCUUCUUGAUUGGAUGAAGCUUCUUGCUUAAGUGUUGAUGAUCUCUUCUUGAGCUUGGCUCUCGUCUUCUUGAAUAAUGCUUCAGGAUUGUCAACAAAAUUUCUUGGAAGAUGUCUUCUAUUCAUACAUUCCCCUGCAUAAGAUAAAAUAGAAAAAUAUCGGGGUAAAACUGUAUGAGAGAAUAGAUAAGCUCAAUCAUCUUAGUGAUGCGAAUGAUAACUCAAAAUCCUUUAUUCCAUUCUUGAUUAGUAAUCAACCUUCCCCGGCAACGGCGCCAAAAAUGCUUGUUGGGUAUUCUUAACAUCAUUGCCAAAAGUAGACUAAGUUCUCUAAAUCUAGUAACGGUGCCAAAAAUGCCAAACCUAUCCCUCACACCACUUAAGCCAAGUUGUCAUCCCCAGCAUGAUAUAAGAGACGCGGUAUUGAAAUAUGCAAUUGCUCUUCUAAAUAAAUAAUGAAUGGGAUCUGCAAGCGCACAGAUUAAUACCAAUGUAGCAUUUUAACCGGGAAGUAUUCCAGGUAUCGUUAUUUAAAUUUUUACCACUGGGAAGGGAUUAGCAAUCAUCAAUAUUGAUUACAGAAUAGAAUAUGAGAUUGAGUAUCUAUCAUUGCAUGUAUAAUUGAGAACAUUUAUCUAACUCUUUCAUAUAGGGAUAAAUGUCACAUAAAAGAUAUAUGAAAUAAUGAAUAGUGACAAAGAUAAUGAAUCUGAUCUAGCCACAUAAUAAAUAUGAUAAGCACCUCAAUUAGAUACUCUAGAAAGUCAUUAGCAUGGUAUUAGAAUGAACUACAAGAAUAUUUCCUAAGUUAUUCUCAACUAUAUAGUCUAGCAUUAUCAUAAUUAGUGCAAGCAUACUUAGCAAUCAUUGCGAGACAAGACUACGCCCAUGCAUAGUGAUAUUAGCAAGGUAAAUGAGAAACAUAGCAAUCACUCCCCUGUAAUAAUAUUGCUCUGCCAGCCCAAUACACGAGAGGGGGACUAUAUAGUUUGUUGACGGUCCUUAAGGCAAGAGAUAAGCUUGGAGGAUUCUUGGUAAUUCUCUAAUUGUGCUUCUAAUUGCUUUCUAAUUAUCUUUGUUCUUCAAUAUUAUGAAUAUGACUUUGUUUUAUUUUAAUAUAUUGCUUAUGACUUUGCUCUACUUUCUUAUAUUCAAGAUUAUAUUGUUCUUAGUUUAUCAUAGUUAUGUACUUGGCUUAGUUAGAUUGGAUCUAUAUACAUGCUUAGGAUCGUAUAGCGUUUAUACAUCGGAUCCAUGGGUAAAUGAUAGAUAUUGUGUAUGCGUGGUGCUUAAACCGUAUUUAUCUGUGAUUGUACCCAAUAUGCCAGAUCGUGGGGUAGUUCGUGAUAGUGACAGCUUCAUUGAUUCUUAUAUAGUCCCCCUCUCGUGUAUUGGGCUGGCAGAGCAAUAUUAUUACAGGGGAGUGAUUGCUAUGUUUCUCAUUUACCUUGCUAAUAUCACUAUGCAUGGGCGGAGUCUUGUCUCACAAUGAUUGCUAAGUAUGCUUGCACUAACUAUGAUAAUGCUAGACUAUAUAGUUGAGGAUAACUUAGGAAAUAUUCUUGUAGUUCGUUCUAAUUCUAUGCUAAUGACUUUCUAGAGUAUCUAAUUGAGGUGCUUAUCAUAUUUAUUAUGUGGCUAGAUCAGACUAAUUAUCUUUGUCACUAUUAUUAUUUCAUAUAUCUUUUAUGUGACACUUAUCCCUGUAUGAAGAGUUAGAUAAAUGUUAUCAAUUAUACAUACAAUGAUAGAUACUCAAUCUCAUAUUCUAUUCUGUAAUCAAUAUUGAUGAUUGUUAAUCCCUUCCCAGUGGUAAAAAUAUAAAUAACGAUACCUGGAAUACUUCCCGGUUAAAAUGCUACAUCGGUAUUAUUUAUUUAGAAGAGCAAUUGCAUAUUUCAAUACCGCAUCUCUCAUGUCAUGCUGGGGAUGACAACUUGGCUUAAGUGGUGUGAGGGAUGGUUUGGCAUUUUUGGCACCGUUACUAGAUUUAGAGAACUUAGUCUACUUUUGGUAAUGAUGUUAAGAAUACCCAACAUAUGUAUCCCCUAUCUUUUCCAUCUCUUGCAGCGCGUUGAUCCCUCUUGGCAGUUUGUCAGUUGCUCAGUUGUUGGCAGUCGUUCAGAGGCAGUUUUCUUGCAAUGGCACGUUGCAAGAAUGUCAGUGGUCCGGUAGCCAGCUCAGGGGGUUCUCCAGGAGGUGAUAGUGGAAGUGAUCCUUCCCGUCGCCUGUCAGCGGCAGAAAAGGGAAAAGGCAAGAAGCUGGCCACCAAGAAGAGGAAGGCCAGUGACAGAGAGGCAGACGUGGCCGAGGCAGUUGCAGCAGCAGCUGAGGCAGCAGAGAGGGGUGGACGCUUAGGUGCCCUGAGGAUUGGGGCCGAUCCCACACCACGGCACAGGCGUGCAGUUCUUGAGGCUUAGGCACUUCAAGGGUCUCCUCCUGGCACCAUCAUGCUAGGAGGUCAGUGUGUCAGGAUUGCAAUCAGAGAGCCAGCUCAGGAGGACCCGGAGACUGAGACAGAGGUAGAGGCCCAGGCGGAUGGCCUGAUGGAGGGACAGCAGAAGGAGCUGCCCCUUAGGAGGUUGACUCGCACGCGUACUCAGGCCAUUCCUAGGACUGGUACGUAGGGUCAGUCCACUUCCACUGCUCGCUCCACUCCAGCACGUGGCACCCCAGCUCCACGUCCAGUGCUAGUGAGGAUACAUAAGGAUUACACCCAGGUCUCCGCUUGAGAGAUCUAGGAGCUGCGGUUCGUUCCUUUUCCGACUUGGUUUCUAGCUUCCAGUGAUCCGAGAGCCAGUGACAGAUUCUAUACAGUGGUUCAAGAGGAUCUGUACGAGGCUUUUUGUCCGUUCAGCGACUCAGUUCAGGGAGCACAGGGUGCUUGACCUUGAGGUGCUUGGGAACAUGGUCGGUGUGGACAUCAGGCAGUAUUUCACUUACCUGACCGGUCUCCCAGAGUUACUUGCUUUACCUGGCACCUAUUGUGAGGAGUGGGUCCGAGAGUUCUAUGCCUCAGUGUGGGUUUCACCAAACCAUAGCUACAUCCACUACGCACUGGCAGGCACUGACUACAGGGUGACAGCUUAGAGGGCCAGUGAGGUUCUUGGAUUGAGAGCCUAUUCCACUCGGAUCCAUGAGCUUUGCUAUGGGAACUUCGAGCCUCCUCGAUGUCCUCACGGUGGUGCUCUACCAUUGGUUGACUUUGUGGCUCCUUGUUUCCGUCAGCCCUUUGGAGAGGGCUCCAGCAGGACAGUUGGAGAUUUGACACGCCCAGCCAGGAUCCUUGACUUCAUGUUGAGGAGGACUCUCUUUCCCAGGUCCGGCUACAAAGACGGCUUCACCAGGAUUCAGCAGUGGUUGGUAGCUCACCUGAUCUCAAAGACAUCAUUUGAUUUGUGGGAUUUGAUAGUGUUAGAGAUUGAGGAUACUAUCUCAGAGAGCUUUAGGGGUCGGCGUCAGUUGCCGUACGCACAUUGGAUCACACUGCUCAUACUUCGUGCUAGGCCCGAGCCUCUUCCAGCUCACCUCCAGAGAGAGCUAUCAGAUGCUGGCACCGUGUUUCCCCACUACGACCCCUGAUAGAUGCUGAGGGCACACUACAACCUUAGAGCUCCGCCACCUCCUCCAGCACCACGUGGCCAGGUGCCACCACCUUCUCCUAGGGGCACUAGCAGUUCAGGGGCAGUCCCAGAGACUGAGGAGGAGCAGGAUAUCGCCAUUGGGGCGUUUUCAGACGCUGAGGCCGAGGUGGAGUUUGACUUCGCUUCAGACAGCUCAGACAUUGAUUAUCAUCUCCCAGUGCCAGACCUUCCUCUGAGGCCGCACGACCACGAGGCAGGAGGUUCCUCGAGUGCCUCAGACCCCGCCCUGCUUGCUAUUCUAGAGGGGAUGAGAGCCGAUCAGAGGAGGGUAGCUCAGGAGCAGGCCAGGAGAGACAGGGAUCAGGCUGACAUCAAUGCAGCCAUGCAGGCUAGGCAGGACGAGCUUCAGAGAUAGGUUCUAACCUUCCAAGAGCAGCAGCUUGCGUUCCAGGCUCAGCAGACGGCGAUGAUGGCCGCUCAUAUGGCCGCCUCAGGGCUUCAGCUUCCUCAGAUUCAGCUCCCAAGUACUUCGUCAGUCAGGCCUCCUACCCAGUGCCACAGAGUUAGUCCCAGCGGCCGCUCUAGCUCCCUGCUCAAAGUCAGCCAUUCUCGAUGCCACAACACCAGGUUUCUUAGGGUGCCAUCUCUUCUAGGUUUGAGCAGGUGCCUCAGUUCACGCCUCUACGCUCUGGUUUUACAGCUCAGUCAGCGACAGCGUCACAGCUUGUGUUGGAUUCGUCGGCAAGCCAGCACAUCAGUUUCUCUUACAGUGCUGUUAUUGGUGACCCUACGCCUUCACCGCUGCAGGCUCCUGUAGCUUUUACGGUCCCAGUUACCACCAUAGAGCGCCUAUCGUCAUCAGUAGCUUUGUUUGAGCAGCUUGCACCUUCCACUACCGUACCAGAGACGUCAGCUAUAGCGACAGAGUCCGUGCUAGCCUCGUCAGCAGGACUUGAGCAGCCAGCACAGCCCGUGACAGCUUCAGAGCCCAUAGAGCCGACCCAGACCGCUUCUCCAGCACGUGUAGCUUCAGAGGGUCACUCUACCUCCUCCGACUCGACGGCCGAUGGAUCAGACGACACAGCACAGUUUCAGGCCGUGCCGAGGGACUCUACUACUCCGCCUCCACCUCUGUCGUCUUAGGUUUUUGGCGCUUGAUGCCAAAGGGGGAGAGAGUGUGAGUAUGUAAGUUAGGGGGAGCUAGGGCUAGCUAGUGAUGGGGGCUCUUUGAUUAUUCUGUGUGCUAUGUGUGCUACUCCAUGCAUCAUAUUUACGUUUAUGCAUUGCAUUUGUGUGAGAUACUCUUGUGAGAUACUUUUAUGGUUGUGAGACAUGACUUUAUGCUUAUCUGUGAUAUCUGGGAUAUCUUUUUGUCAUGUGUUUGGCUCUUAUUACUUUGCUUCUGCGUUUUUACUCCGAUGUACUAUGAGCCAUAUGUGUUUGUAUCCUGUUGUAUACAUAUUUGGAUGCAGGAUGGUAGACUUGGUUGAUAUAAGCAUGCCUAAUCCCUUUGCUCUUAUUGUAUCAUGCUUAUAGAAACCAAGUCAUAUUGAAAACCUCAUUUUCUUUCAUACUCGAGGUCAUUAUCAUCAAUCACUAAAAAGGGGGAGAUUGAAAGAGCAUCUAGGCCCCUAAUGAUUUCGGUGAUUAAUGACAAUGUUGAUUACUGUGACUAACGUGUGUUUUGCAGAGGCAAAGUCAUCAUUGAGGUCAUGGUAAUAGGUACUCGAUGAACAGGGACGUACAUGCCUACUUAAUAGUGGAAAUCAUUUUGGUUUUCAAAGGAUGGAUGGACAUCGUCAAGACUAGACUAGGUCUAAGUGCCCUAUGGUGAAGAAGGGCACUUAGAGUAGUUUAGGACUUGGUUUUUCCUUUGACCGUACUAUUAAGAGGGGCUUUGAUCUAGUAGCUUGAGUUAGGCAAGGCUUUAGGUUUAGGUGUGGUGCACACUUGGUAAACCUAGCACUAGGCAGCUCAGAGAUAGUCCUUGGAUCAAGAGGAAACAACUUCGUUUUGGAACGGUCGUGUUUCGACGAAGUUAGGGUGCCUAAGUAGGCACCGGACGCUGCACCGGAUGCUCUGUGAGUGCGUCCGGUGACGUCCUUUAGCCGUUGAAGGUUUUGGUGCAUAGGGUUAGGCACCGGACGCUAGCACCGGACUCACCGGGUAGCGUCCGGUCCUAUACCCAGGGAGGUUGUAAACCUUCCCCGAGCACCGGACGCACCGGAUAGCGUCCGGUCUUAAACUCAGGGAGUUUGUAAAACUCCUAGGAGCACCGGACGGUGCCACUGGACGCUAUGGAGUAGCGUCCGGUGACCUGUCAGAGGCAGUACAGUUAGCCAUUGAAGUGUCACCGGACGCUUGACGCUCGGUGCAGAGCGUCCGGUGCAACAUCAACAGCGUCCGGUGACCCCGUUUUCAGUGGAAAACGGUUGGCUGGCCCUUGGACUUCGUGGGGUGUAUUUAUACUCCUCCACCUUGUCCAUGAGUGCUCUCUUGCCCAUUUGAACAUCUGAGAAACUUGUUGUGGAGCAAGAGAGUAGCAAGAGCCUAGAGAGGAUUGAGAUCUGAGAGAUUUCUUGUGAGAAUCCUUCUCUAGUUGAAUUCCAAGAGUCAAGUGUGCAUCCUCCACUCUCUAGUGCCUUGUUUGGGUCAAGUGAGAGUUCUUUGCUUGUUACUCUUGGUGAUCGCCAUCACCUAGACGGUUCGGUGGUGAUUGGAGGCACGAAGACCGCCCGGAGUUCUUGUGGGUGGCUCGUGUCAAGCUUGUGAGCGGUUUUGGGCGAUUCACCGCGACGGAGUGUCGAAGAAUCAGCCUGUAGAGAGCACUUGGUCCUUGCACGGACCAAGGGGGAACAAGACCCUUGCACGUGCGCUCCAACAAGGACUAGUGGAGAGUGGCGACUCUCCGAUACCUCGGCAAAACAUCGCCGAGCACUUUCUUCCACUACUCCUUUACUUUCUAGCAUUUACUUUGUGUUUUUACAUUCCUAGAAUUGCCAUGCUAGAAUAGGAUUGGAACUAGGUUGCAAAACUUUUAUCUGGUAGCUCCCUAGUCACUCUAGGCACAAGGGGUUGAAUUGGAGCUUAUAGGUUGCUUAAAUUUUAAGAGAAGCCCAAUUCACCCCCCUCUUUGGCAUCUUGAUCUUUUCAAGGACCUCUACUCUUGACCAUAUAUUUCCCUGACUACGGCACACAGCGGUUUUUUAUAACACCCUGCAGGUAUGAAGAGAAUGCUUUACAAUGUUUUAACCCCCAGAUAUUUUUCUAAACCAUCCUUUUCUCGAGAACGAGUAAAAGCCUAAGUAUGGGGGUGUUUGUUGACAGUUCUUAAGUAUCAAUUUUAAUCAUGAAAUAAAUAAGGAAAAGGACUAAUAUACAAACAACACCUAGAAUUAGGGUUUGAUCUGACAGAAUUCCACGAGUUUUGCUGUUUAUCUAUUUCUAUAGGGUGUUAUCAGGAAAUAUGGAAGAAAGGCCCACACAUCGGGUUUACAUAGAGAUAUUAACUUGUGCGCCAAUUUUCCUUAGUCUAGAAGGUUCCAGAAGCCACACGAACGAGCGGGAGGCCGAGCGGGCCCACAGGCAGGGCGCCCGCCCGGCCCCCCUGGGCGCCCGCCCUCCUCUGCUGGCCCAUCAGCACGAGUCUCGCGGAUUAUGCUCCACCACCUUUGAGGAUCAAGGAGAACCGUUCAAUCAAGGUCGGUUUGAUCAGAUGGCCCAGAUUCAUUUGAGAGGGCUAUAAAAGCAAGGCCCCUGGCCCCUAGAGAAUUCAAUCCCCAUUAUUCAUUAGCAUAUUUUCCAGAAAGGAUCCAGAGAGAGAGGUUCCUUUAGGGUUCCAACCUCAUAGGGUUUAGCAUCCAAUGUGAGAGUAGAAUUAGUUCUCCUAGAUUGAGAGAGAUAGAGUGGAGGUGUAGAUCGGAGGAAGCCUGGCCUGUCGGUGUCUACUCCAAGGUUGUACCUGCGGGAUCAAGUCUCCUAACCCGAGGCUUGCUCCUAGGAUUCUUUAGUAUUUCAACUUCUAAAUUUUAGUAAGUUCUUUGUUUUAUUGUUCUUUGGUUUAUGAGUUUACUUUGAUCUCUUCGCGUAGAGUUUAGAGUAAUCAUCUCUAGCGUAAAUGUGGCGUUUGGGCUAGGAUACUCAUAGAUAUCCCCUGUCUAGCCGGACCGUGGUAGUAGCGAGGAACGUGACAUUUCUGAGUUACCUUUGUAGCUCAUAAUCCCAUUAGCAGGAUCGAUAGGGUUUAUAGGUGCAGGUCGAACAUCCUCUGUGGUGUCUAGAUUCCGUGAGCCUCCCCAACAGAACAGUAGAUCAUCCUUACCAAGGUUAGAACGAGGGUGCAGUUGAAGUCUUCUCUAUACAUCACUCACAUUGAGUCAUAGUGGUUGUAGCCUAAAAGUUAGUAGUAAUAGACCUGGUUAGUCAGAUGCACGCUUUCUCCUAGUGGUAAAAAUAUAAAUACGAUACUCUAGAUGACAUCUCGGGUGAAGUGCUCACCGAUAUCCGUGCGCUUGUGGAUUAAUUCCUGAUUGUGUAACCAAAUAUAAACAUUUAACACCAUGUCUUGUUUGAUUAAGGUAGUCUAUUUAAUCUAAGCACCAUGCUUAAUUUAAAAAUACUAUGGAGGUACUCACUCGAGCGAUUAGUAUAACCAAACCAAAGCAUACUAACAUAGAAAGAGGGAACGUGAUAGGUUGAACAAGAUUCAUUAUACUAGAGACAAGAUAAUGAGUGAUGAAGACAAGAGGCAAAUAUUUUUUCUUUUAUUAUUAUUAUUAUUUAAUUUUUAUAUGCAAGGCAAUGCAAAGUGGAGGAUAAAUGCAUUUAAACAAAUAUGUUGUGGUUAAAAUAAAGAUUAAAAAAAUAAAUAAGUGAUAUGCAUGAACAUCUAGGCUUUAGCUUUUUCCUGUGGCGUGGCCCGUCCAAAGGACAUCAUCAUACCGACUACUAAAGCCAAUAUAUGAGCCGAGAUGUUCCCAUUUAACAUUCGACUACCACAAGCUAAACUAGGAGCCCAAAUAGGUAGACAACAAUAAAAUUGUUGUCUAUCUAGACUAGGUAUGAUGCCCGAAUACAACUCAAAGACUAGGAGCUACCCAAAAAAGCACUAGAUUUAUGCAAUAUUAAGCAAACAUGCAGUGGAAAGGAUAAAAAGAAAAGAAAGGUAAAAGAAGGAUAACUCGGACGACUUGGUUCUAAGUUAGAUCAGCUACCGAUCCCCGGCAACGGCGCCAGAAAUGCUUGUUGACUCUUCUUAGUGUCACUACCUAGGAUUGUCAGUCCUUGGCACAGCACUAGAAAAUGCUUGUGUGACACCAGAAGUGGCAAACAGUUUUACCGCAAGCGGAUGGUGGUCAAUGUAGCACUUCACCAGGAGUAUUCCAGGUAUCGUAUUUUCCACAGCGAAUGAGAAGUGACUAACUAGACCAAUUGAGUCAUCAGAUGACUAUCAAAGGGCUUAGGAUUGGGUGGAGAGGUAUUUCUAGUAUUUGGCUUCUGGCUAAGCUAUGCUAAGUAUACUGAGAUUUAACUCCCUUCCUACUGUGGCCGAUAGGUGAAAAGGGUGUGGUGAAACACUUCCCUAGGCAGCUACCAUGCAGGCCAACUAUUAUUUGCAACUUGCCUAACAACACGCUGAAGAGAACUCCUAAUGUCCAGCAGAGGCCUGUCACGCUUCGCUGCUGGCGUUCUUCAGGUGCGACAAGAAGUCCACAAGGGCAGACUUAGUCUAGACACCACGUCUACACUAAUUCUACUACUCUAGACCCAGCUAAGGUUUCGAGUACUUCACACAAGACAAAGCAAUGUGCCAGUAGGCCGGUUGUAUACUUAAAAUAAACUAAGAUAGAAAGUAAAUACUGGAAGUACUCAGAUGAAAGGCAACUAGAAGGAACACUUACUAGAAGACAAGCAUCCGCUGAGGCGCUCUUGGAAGAAGACUCCCGACAAGCCGGGACUCUGAAAGGUCCUAAUAUGGCUAGAGGGGGGGUGAAUAUCCUAUUUAAAAAUUCUACAAACUCACUGGAGCAAUAGGUUAGUAAAUAACAAAGCGAAGCUUUUUGCUCUAGCUCUAAAGGGGUGCACUACAAGAAACACAUGGCUUUUUAACGUUUAGUUAUGUCACAAUAUAUGGAAUUUAUGUUACAAAUUAAGAUUUGUGACAUCAAGUUGACAAAAAUCAAAACGUGGAAAAGCCCGCGUCAUAAAAUGAUUAUGUGACAUUUGUUUGGUUCAUGUCACAAGCAUAUGACAUUGGUUUAUUGUCACAAAAUCGUAGGCCUUGCCAUGUGGCAGCUGACAUGGCAGGGAAAAAAAUGUCACAAACACUAUAAAAAAUGUCACAACCAUCAUAAUCUAUUACACGUCAGUAGGUUGUUAUGUCCCAUUAUUCAUGCCCAUGUGUUUGUGGCACGCUCAUGAAAUACACAUAAAUUGGAAGAAAGCUCACGAUUGACAAAAUAUUGGUCAUCUUUUCAUUAAAACCGUCAACAUUUGUACUUGUACAAUUUUUCAUAAGAAAUACAAAGACAAUAAGCAAGCUACACGCAAGUAGCUACAAAACUAAGAGGGUAGCUUGCACAAUACAACUCAUAUGAUUUGCUUGCAUAACAAAAUCUUUCAAAAAUAGCCACUAUGAGCACUUUGAUCCUCUUGCUGCACCAGUGUACAUCUAAGCUCAUUCUGACCUGAAAACCAAAGGUUCCAUUUAUCACUAAUGCAGUCUAAACAAAGUUAUAUGGAAAGGUGCCAGAGGUAAAAAAUCUUGAAAACUUAGAAGCAGAUUCUCCACCACGACUUGGUAUAACAAGGCAUAUAUAACUACUGUUUUUUUUUUCUUUCAUGCAAACUUUAAGCAACAAAAUUGUGUUUCCACAUCAGCAAAUAGAACUGAACCAAUGUUAAGUGGCUAUGUAUACAGACAAUGUAAAUCAUCAAUAAAGAAACUAGCUAGUAGUAACAGAGGAGAAAGACAGAGAGAAAAUUUAGUAGUAACAGAGGAGAAAGACCGAGAGAAAAUUUUAUAGAAAUGAGUUCAAGAUUCAGAUGUGUGUGCACAAGAAAGAAUUAUGGUUCAUCUAACUUUUGGAAUAGAUGCAGACUCAAGAGAUAUCUCCUACAUGCACACAAUACUGAAAUUUGAGAUAAAAACCUACAAAUCGAACAAACUAUUAGAGUCUCUCUAUCAAUCUGUAAAUAAAUUAGGGAUCUAGGAGGUUCAGGCUUGGGCUAACCUGCAAAUCAUGGGGACAGAAAAACAGGAACAACUGGACAAGUAAGCAGUGCCAUCCUGCUGCCGUGCGAUGAUUUGCUUAUUGCAUAUCUGUUGACAGCACAGAAAGAAAGCAAACAACUUGUUCUGGAUGGAGUAGCUCCGUGCUCAUGCUAGAGGAAGAACUGAAAAAGCUUUAAGAAUAUUAGUGUUUAAAAUCCUUGGCUGAUCCAAAUUUAUAGCAGCACCAACACGCAGAAUAGAUUUCAAAAAAAAACGUGCAGAAUAGAGGCACAACAAAUGUUAACAGGAACAGAUUUGCACUCUAUACAUGACCCAACAACUCUUUAUAUUAGACAGUGGAAAAAAUGACAAUAAUUCUCAGGCAAGCAACUCCUUGUAUUAGAUUAUUUAGUAAACUGAAACUCAAAAUGAGAAAUCAUGUAUGGCUCAUAAUUAAAUUAAAGCAAGAGCAAGCAGCAAAGUUGCAUAUGCAUAGAACAAAAUGGGUUUCUCUGAUUACAACUAUCCCUACAUAAAAAUUUCCAGAUAAUGCUAGAUCCCUACAACCUAUGAAGUCAAUAAAUUACUUUAUGAAAGGGAAAAAAUAAUACAAAGCAUGUAUCUUUUAAGUCAAUGAAUCCAUAUGAAGUGCAGGCACCAAUCAGAUAGAGGGGAAUGGGAAAAUCAUACCUACCAGAACAUAAAAGAUCAAAGCGCUACUUCACUGCAUCCUGAAAGAAUCUGCUUGAACUCUCUGUAGUUCAAGGAGUACUUCCUCGUUGAGCCGGGUUAUUCAGCACCUUUUGCAGCACAUGAAAAUAAACCUGGAAAUGACAUGAAAAUUGGCAAUCACGCAGCUCAUAAGCAGAGAUAAAAUAUUGUAAGGGAACACGCGACAUAAGCACCUAAUUUUUGCAAACUCUAACCAUGAGCAAUCAUCAAAACUUUAAAUAAUGUAAUGCUAUGGGUGUUGAGAAAAAAUUCCAAACAGAGAAGAUAAUGUUCUUGUACUCAACAGUUUCACAUGAAUCCUGCAAAUAUAAGCCAGUCCUACCAUUCUAUCAUUGAAAUGCAAGUCAUACUAUAAGUCAAAAACAGAUAAAUUUCAUAUUACUAAUUUCAGGUCUAUGUCAUAUUACUAACUUUAGGUAUAUUUCAUAUUACUAACUUCUGAUAUACAGAGGAUGCUCCAAAAAGGAUGGAAUAUUAUUCAAAAGCCCACUAUUUGUCAAGUACUAAAGCUCCAAAAAUGAUUUUACAGUGCUUGAUAGCCAAAUGAUGCAUCUAGACAAUUCACAUAUGAAGGGAGGUGGCAUACCUUGCUGCCCUGAAUGGAGUAGCCUUUGAACCUUUGCCUUCCUGGUGCCUGGUGCCAGAGAGAGGAAACUCUGAAAAGGAGAAAUAAUAGGUCAGUCCAACUGUCCAAGAUCUAGGCGGCUAGGAGGGAAAGGAAAAGGCAGUGGCCAGUGAGAGAUUCAAGCUGCAGCCGUCUGAUUCAUUGUUCCAUGAACAAAGCCGAUGACAGAUCUGGUUCGUGCAAACUUACCCAAAGACAAAUUGGAGAGACGUCACCGGAGGAGGACGAUUCCUUGGCUGGUGGAGACGGAGAGGACGAGAUUACAGAGGCAAGCCGACUUGAGGGCGAGGGCGACCUGACAUUGGGGCGCCGUCCAGUACUCCAGUGAGGGCGGCUAGUAGUGAGAGCAGAGGGCGGGUGUGUCCUCUGCAGGAGGGCACGGUGGCUAGGGGCUGGGUGCUGGCGAGUGGCCGCCGGGCAGAGGUUGGACUUGCUGACGCCGGAGUCGCCGAUGAGCACCACCUUGAAGAGGUAAUCGUACUCGUCCUCCGCCCGGUACCCACCUCCAUUGGCAGCCAUUGCUUUCCUUCCCCUCCACAGGCAGUGAGGCCGCCGCUGGUGUCCUUGGGACAGGGGUGGCCGUGGGUGAGAAGGGACGCAAUAGGGAUGUGCGGCGGCUGGUGGAGAGGAGGGGCCGAGAGAGGAAGCUGGGUGGUGGGGUUAGGGUUUUUGUACCUCAUUUAUAUAUGUGAAUACGUAUUGAGCUCUGGGUUGGAUAUCCAUUAGGGCGGGAUGGUUUUUAAAAAUAGAAAAAAAAGAUUUUAAUACCAAAGAAGGCCCACUGGCUAAUCGUCCGUCCGCCUCCGUCGAAGUCGCAAGUCUCGCAUUUAUUCGCAUAAAAUCGCGUGCUACACGGCCAGUGGGAUUCGAACCUGAGACCUUGUCCUCGCAUGUAGCCUCCUCUACCACUACACCUAUCACUCAAUUAUGUCUAUAUUAGAGUUUAGUUCUCCACAUAUUAUCCUAAACCGAGCAUAUAUUGAUUAUUUGAGGCCCUAAACGGAUUCCAAUGGAAAAGUUAUCAACUACAAAGUUCCAUAAAUUUCAAGAUCUACAACUUUUAUAUUGGUAGUUUCUCCAUCUGAGAUCAUUUAUAAAAUUUGAAUUUUAAAAUUGAGAAAUUCAAAUGUAGUUUUCGACGACAAGAUGAUUUCAAAUGAAAAAAUUAUCAACUAUCAAGUUUCAUAACUUUUCGAGAUCUACAACUUUCAUUUUGAUGGUUUUUUCACAGACGGUUAUUGACUUGGGCCCACCAAUUUAUUUUUAUAGGCGUUCUUUAUUUGAAACCGCCUGUAAAAAUUAAAUUCCACCGCCAGGAUAGAGCUUCUUUGUACUAGUGUAUGUUAUUGAAACUUUUUAAUAGUUAUUUUCACUUUUAUAAUUUUUUAAAAAAUAAAAUAGACAAAAACAUGGAAAACAUGUGUUGAUGUGGCCUAUAUCAAGUGCAAUAGGUGGCCCAACUACAAGACAAAAAAUAUAAAAAAACAUGUGUCGACGUGGCAAAAGACCUUGUCAACAUGGAAAGUUUUUAAAAAAUUUUAAUAAAAUAACUUGUGACACACAAAUAGGCCUGGUGACAUAGAAAAUAUUGUCACUAGAUGAAAUCAGACUUAUUAAAUGACAUUUAUUGUGACAUACAACUUUUCAUUGUCACUAAGUCACUAUGUCUAAAAUAUAAUGUCACAAAAUGGAUGAUAUAGUAACAUUCUUACAAUUGUCAUACUAAAAAUGUUAAAAAGCCAUGUAUUUCUUGUAGUGGUGUUUGCAAGCCACCUAUCCCACAAUUCUAGUUGAUAUAAUCACUAGGCAUACAAGAGCUAUGUCACAACUUACACUAGAAAGCUACCUAAAGUUUCUAUACAAGUAAGUAAGCUACUCUAGUUUGCGGGAAUGUAAAAGAGAGGAUGAGAUAUUUAUACCACCAAGUAGGGGAUGAACCAAUCACCAAUAUAAACAAUCAAGCACCGGGAGAAUGCCAAUCAAACACAAUUGAGACACCAAUUUUUCUCCCGAGGUUCACGUGCUUGCCGACACGCUACGUCCCCGUUGUGUCGACCAACACUUGGUGGUUCGGUGGCUAAGAGGUGUAGCACGAACCUCGUCCUCACUAGGACACCACAAGAACCUACCCACAACUGAGGUACCUCAAUGACACGAGCAAUCCACUAAUGUUGCCUUUGGCACUCCGCCAAGGUAGGCAGAAACCUCUCACAAUCACCGGGAGAUGGCCACGAACAAUCACCAACUCGUGUCAAUCCUCCUCCGCUGCUCCAAGCCGUCUAGGUGGCGGCAACCACCAAGAGUAACAAGAAAACCGCAGCUAGAACGAUCCCCAAGUGCCACUAGAUGCAAUCACUCAAGCAAAUGCACUUGGAAUCACUCCCAAUCUCACAAAGAUGUUCAAUCUAUGGAGGACAUGAGUGGGAGGAGUUUGCUUAGGCUCACAAGAAUGUUAUGUAUGCUAGAAUGCCAAGAGAGUGAGCCUUAAGCCAGCCAAACACGUAUAUAUAGCCCUUCAAACAAAUAGAGCCGUUGGCUCUUUCAUUGGGCAAACAGUGGGGUCACCGUAUGCUCUUAAAGGGGCACCAGACGCUGAACACCUGCGUCCGGUGCUCCAAAGUCAGCCGCGUGUCAGAGUCUAACGGUAACCUGUAGAGCACCGGACGCUGAGCAAGUUGGCACCGGACGCGUCCGGUGCACAACGGUCUUAAGCACAGAGAGGUCUGCAAAACGCGUAGGCCACCAGACGCUCCAAGCUGCGUCCGGUGCUCACCGGACAGAAACUCAGAGAGCUCUGCAAAACGCUCAGGUCACCGGACUCACACCACCAGACGCUCCAAACUGCGUCCGGUGCCUAGCGUUCGGUGCCUAGCCCUAACGGAGCCAGGCUGCCUGCACACCGGACGCACAUGCACAGCGUCCGGUGCUUCUGUGCUAGCGUCCGGUGACCCACGACUUCUCCGAAAAUCCCACCGGCGCAAUAGAAAAAAUAUGCACUUCAUUUUCUCAAAAAGCAUCGAAUCCCGCCUCGCAAGCUCGGCGGGAGGGAGAGAGGAACCCAUCCUCUCUCUACCUUUCAAGCUCCAUCUCCUUCUCAAGUGUGCCAACACCACAAAGUGUAAACCAACUUGUGCACGUGUGUUAGCAUUUUCACAAUCAUUUUCUUCGAAGGAGUUAAGUUAGCUCACUAGGUUCUAAAUGCAUGCACAUGAAUAAUGACACCAAGUGGCACUCGAUAACCGCUUAGCCAAAGAAUUCCCCUCUUUAUAGUACAGCUAUCUAUCCUAAAUGUGAUCACACCCUCUAUGGUGUCUUGAUCACCAAAACCAAAACCUUAAGCAAUACCUUUGCCUUGAUCUCCAUAUGGUUUUGUUUUUCUCUUUCUUCUUUUCCAAGUUGAGCACUUGAUCAUCUUGUGGUCAUCACCAUCAUCACCAUGAUCAUCACUUGCUCCAUCACUUGGCAUGUACCAACCUCAUUAAGUCUACACACUUAGCAUAGAGGUUAGUACUAGGGUUUCAUCAAUUAUCCAAAACCAAACUAGGGCUUUCAAUCUCCCCCUUUUUGGUAAUUGAUGACAACCCUUUUUACAAAGAUUUUCAAUAAAAAUUUUCUUGGAUUCAUGUUGCUUGCCCAUGCAUUUUACCAUGUGCAAAGGUUAUGGACAAGUUUCAUAAACCCAAAUUGGUAGCAAUUGCUCCCCCUACAUAUGUGCUAAGAGUUUGGAUUUGAAAACUUGCACAUAUGCUUGAAUAAGAAAUAUAGGAGACAAUUUCUACCGUAUGAUGCUAAGGUGUAAAGAAAGGACCUUUGAAGCGUGAUACCAAUCGGAGUUGCCAAUGUACACCAUCCUUAGCACCAUUAGUAACUAGACAUUCACAAAACUAGAACACCCCAUGAGAUCAAUCAUUUUAAACAAGGUUCUAGUACCACUUGUGAAACAACUAAAAGUCUAGUUACACUACCUAUGCAUGCUAGCUCUUCAUUUCAUCAAUCAAGCCUACAACUAGCAUACACCACACAAGCAAGGCAUUGGAGUGAAAGUUUCUAAAGCUAAUGCUAAUGCAAGCAAACAUAUGUGAUGCACAUUCAAAUGCAACAUACAAAGUUUAUGAGCUUGCUCCCCCUACUUGUGUGCUUCAAAAUUUUAAUUGAUCCCCUUCUUUUAUCAUGUUACUCUUAAAUCUUUGGGAAAUUUUCUCCCCCUUUGUCAUCAAUGACCACAAAAGGUGAGCUCAAAUUUUAGAUAGGUUAGUGUGAAACUAUGUGAAGUGAGAUCAUUUUCCCAAAUUGGUCCAAUCUAGAUUACUUGCCUAAGAUAUUUAACUCGGUUUGAUCCAAGGACAAGCUUCUUCACACCUCCAAAUAAGGGUUAUCUUGUACCAUGUUGAGUUAAAGACUUAUAGCUCAUAUUCUAGAUCAAACACUAGGAUUGCAAGCCCAAAAACAUGUCAUAUGCUACCACUAGAUCAAGUCAAGCAUAGAAGCAAUAGUGGUACCAUACAAGCAUCAGGUUCAUUUGAUUUUCAUGAAUGAUCCUAAGACAUGUAAGGAAUGACUAGAUGCACUAAGCAAGUCCUUAGCAUAGGAUGAAUGAUAUGUCAAACAAUUUUACCUUGCUUUGCUUGAAGGAGAGGCAUGUCAUAUAGUGGGGGUGCUUCAACACAUAUUUGAGAAGUCAAGUAUGUUCAAUUCAUUGCUUAGCUUGCAAAACCUCUUCUCAUCAAGUGACUUGGUGAAUAUAUCGGCAAGUUGAUCAUCGGUGCCUAUACUCUCAAUGCAAAUGUCCCCUUUUUGUUGGUGAUCCCUUAUGAAGUGAUAGCGGACAUCUAUGUGCUUUCUUCUUGAGUGUUGAUCCGGAUUGUUGGUGAGCUUCACGGCUGUUGACGGUCCUUAAGUACCAAAUAUAAUCAUCAAAUAAAUAAAGAAAAGGAUCCAAAUGCAACCAACACCCAGUGAAGUAAGAAGAGAGUAGAGAGGAAGAGAAGAGUGGGAAAGAAGUUGGUAGUUUUUGAGUGAGAGAGUGAGCUUCACCUAGUAAGUAGUGAUCCCGCUGUCCAAGCGGAAGUAAAAGUUGUUUAGGGGGAGGUGCUGCCAAAAUAAAAACUUGACUUGAACGACUAACCCCUAGACUACUAACAUUCCAGACAGCUAACCACUAACAUUUUCUCUCACAUUUUCCACUAGUUGUGUCUUUGCCAACUUUUGUCUGCAGGAUGUUCAAGAAGGUGGAGAACGCAGGGAAGGCUCUCAAGAACAUAGGUACAAGGAGUUCAUGCCAACACUCCUCUCACCCAUCAGAGAUGAGCGUCGAUUCGACGCCCACACAAGCUCCGUCAUCUUCAUCUAAUCAGCAAGUCAAGGUCCUUCUUAAGAUAGGAGACCUUGGACUAAAGACCCGCAGGGAAAAGGAAGUCUACCAGCAACUAAAGAACAAAGAUUUCAUUCACACCCCUACUCUUGAUCCCAUCCUGCUACAAGAAACAGGUAUGGAUACUGAAAUCGACUUAAUUUUCUAGAUGUUAGGUUGGACAAAUUUUUGGAACAUAACUGAGCAGGGUUCUCGUCUUCUCACCCUUGAAUUUCUUUGCACUUUAUAAUAUUAUGAGGGGGGAAUUGUUUUUCGGAUGUUCAAACAGGAGAUUAUGUUGUCUUGGAGAGAACUGAGCGACCAUCUUGGUCUCUCUUCAAGAUGCAUACUGAACAUUGACCCUGACCUACCCAAUUUUGAGAGACACCAGUUCUGGAGAGAGAUAUCUAGAGAUAAUUUUUAUAGUCAAGCCCGAACUAGUGACAUGGAACACACUACUCUUAGGAUGUUCCACAAAUGGCUUGGGUACAAUCUUUUCUAUCGUGAUGAUAUUAGGAAAGUAAGAGUAGGAGAUUUACAACUUCUAUAUGCUGCUAUUAAUAAAGUACCAACUUCACCUGUUACACUUUUGGUUUCUCAUUGGCUUAGUAUACCUAGUCUUCAGGGACCUGUAGGAUGUACUUCACUUAUCACUCGUCUAGCCUCUAAUCUUCAUUUACUAGAAAACUCGUCAUUGGAAUUCAUUGAUGAGUUACGAAUUUAUCAUGGCUAUGACACAUUUAGACAAGCUCGGAUGUUAAAGAAAGAGGGGAACAUAAUGUAUAUGCUAUAUGACAAUAAAGGCAAGAUUCGGUUACCUAACCCGAACCUUGGCCUCUAUGUUGUUCAGAAUUUUUUGAUUGAGAUUACAGUGACACCGGUAGACCAGAGAGCUCCACAACGAGUGGCAUCUGAAUGGAUGACCACCCAUCAAGAACGCACCUGGUAUGGAGCUUAUCCCUGGCCGGAAGAAGUAGCGCACCUGCAUUAUUGCGACUACAACCCCCGAGUCCUUCGAGACCCAUGGGUUCGACAUGCGCAACCACAAGAGCCAACACAGGAGACAUGGCCGGAGGGCCAAGAUCACCAGUGGACAAACCCGCCUUUUCAUACGGGCAGGUACUCCACUGAUCCAUGUGGAGCUUCAGGAUCCAGACCUCCGCCCCAAUUCGAUGCAGGACGAUACUCCGACGCCUCCUACGCUUUCACGAACGACUACUACCAAGAGGCCGGUGCUUUCUUCACCCGUACCGACAACACUCGCCUCGACAUCCAGAACACGCAAGCAGAACAUGGACGACUCCUGGAACAGCAAUAAAAAUGGAACCAGGACCACGCCACUGCAAUACAAGAGCUGAGACAAGACACCACGACAAUGAACGACAACAUCACCACCAUGAUGCGAUUCUAGAAUAUUGAGUAAGACCGACAUCAACAUCCAGCUUGGGGGAGUUCCUUCCCAAUUUAUCAAGUAAGUUUUGAUUUGCUUUUCUUAUUUAUUCUUUUCUAUUUUAGUGUUUUACUUAAAGAGAAAAACUUAGAAAACCCAAUAAAUAUUUUCUUGCUUUAAAUUACUGCGUCCUAUAAACAUGAAAACAAAAUAAAAAGAGUGUGUAGAUAAGUGUGCUUUAUUUUUCUACUAAGUAUUAAUCUCUAGAAAAAUAUAAAAGACCAAAAAGAUACAUGAUGGAAAUGAUGAACAGUUGCUCUGUUUGCUUACUUUCAAGUACCUAGCUUUUAUAUUAGAGUUCUUCCAGGAAUUACUAAAACUGAAAUUACUAUCUAUGGGAUACAUAAAACUAAAAUCUAGGUAAGAGAAAGGCAUGAUAUAAAGUUUGAGUUGCUGUUUAUCUUGUUCCUACUACACUAAGUUCUGGAAAUUUAUAUUGGAAACUUACAAAUCACAUGAUGAGUUCCUAGCAUAACAAACUUCCUACCACAGCCAUACUUCCUAUAACAUAUUUUACUAUAUUACAUUGAGUUUGAUCGAGCUGUGUAGACCCUUAGGAGCUUUUCAUGUGGUUAAAUUAAGAUAUUCACUUGCACACAUCUACUACACCAUCCACCACCACCUAUUAAAAAUUGCUAAAAAAAUAUUAUCACUCACUGUCCCAAAUGUUGUUAUUCUCUCUCUCUCUAAAAAGAUUCAAUGCAGAAGAGGCAUGGGUUAUGCAAAAAUAUGCGAGGAAAUAAAAAGGAGCAAGUGCCCGGAACCUCGAAAAAGAAAGAAAAAGAGUGAGACAAGAGGUAAAAAUGGACAAGUGUCCGGAGUAGAAUUAGGGGUACAAAGAUGCCCACUAGAGCGGAAAAAUGGACAAGUGUCCGAUAGUAGAAUUAGGGGUGUCUACUACCCACCUGAAAAAAAAGAGAAAACAUAGCCCAUGUUCUCCCAAAGCAAAGAUCAAAGAAGAGGAGAGAUAGCAAUA